Callithrix jacchus (white-tufted-ear marmoset) is the source of this 44330-nucleotide long non-coding RNA. RefSeq lists it as uncharacterized. The record is from RefSeq and is a predicted model, not a curated record. Lineage: Eukaryota; Metazoa; Chordata; Mammalia; Primates; Cebidae.
AGUUUCUUUGCAUUGAUUUAAUACAUGAUCUUUUAGCUCACAAAAGUUUCUCAUUAUCCAUCUUCUGAAGUCUAAUUCCGUCAUUUCGUCACAGUCAUUCUCCGUCCAGCUUUGCUCCCUUGCUGGUGAGGAGUUUUGGUCCUUUCUAGGAGGCGAGGUGUUCUGGUUUCGGGUGUUUUCCUCCUUUUUGCGCUGGUUUCUUCCCAUCUUUGUGGAUUUGUCCGCUGGUCGUCUGCGUAGUUGCUGACUUUUCGUUUGGGUCUCUGAGUGGACACCCAGAAUGCUGAUGAUGAAGUAUUUCUGUUGCUUGGUUUUCCUUCUACCAGUCUAGCCCCUUCGCUGUACGACUGCUGAGGUCCGCUCCAGACCCUGCUUGUCUGGGGUGCACCUCUAGUAGCUGUGGCACAGCGAGGGAUGCUACCAGUUUCUUUUUCUGCUCUCUUUGUCCCAGGAUGAUGCCUGCCUAAUGUCAGUCUUUUGGAUAUAGAGGGGUCAGGGAGCUGCUUGAGGAGACAGUUUGUACUUUAUAGGGGUUUAAUUGCUGAGCUGUGCACUCUGUUGUUCAUUCAGGGCUGUUAUGCUGCUAUGUUUGAUUCUGCUGCAACAGAGCUCAUUAAAAAACCCUUUUUUUUUUUUUUCUCAAAUGCUCUGUGUUGAGGGGUUUGGGCUUUAUUUUUCGAUGUCCGAUCAGGUGUCCUGCCCAGCUAGAAGGCGGACUAGCCACUGUUUGGCUGCCGAGGCUCCGCCCUGCUGUUGUGUGAUUCGCGCUGUUCCUGCCGGCUCUGCUGUGGUCUCCGCCACGCCCUGCGGCGGAGUCUCUUCGUUGUAGCGUGUUGCCUCAGCAACGGCAGGCUGCGUCAGCAGUGGGCGUGUAUCUCAGUAGGGACAGGUUGCCUCGGCAACGGCUGGCUGCGUCAGCAAUGGGCGUGUAUCUCAGUUGGGGCGGGUUGCCUCGGUAGUGGUGGACGCCCCUCCCCCACAGAGCGUCUCAGACCGUCUGCUCGGGAUAGUUUGAAAUCGCGGUUUUUUUCAUCCCACUGGGUAUCCCAAUCCCUGCAAUCCCCUGGGCUGGCCUACUGUCCAAGUCUCAUUCAGUCUCAAGUCCAGCCCUCUCAAGUCUCAGGUUGCCGGUUCAACAGGGCACCCGGACAAGCGCGCCCUGUGGGGAUUGCUGGGUAGGGCCGGCCGCCACCGCCCCGGCUGCCGGCUUCGCCAGGCAAACCUACUGCCUGGCGUCCCGUGUCUUUUUUAUACUUGGGAGUUUCCCCGUUCUGUGGGCAACAAAGAUCAGUCUGGAAAUGCCACUCUGACUCACCGUUUACGGAUUCAACGAGAAGAGCUCCAAUCCUGGGUUAUUCUCACAGCGCCAUCUUGAGUCCCUCUGCUAAUCAUCUUAAAGUAGCUGUUAGUAAUAAUAAAAAGUGUACCCUGUAUUCGUAGUUCUUUCACUUUAACCUAGAUAUUUACCCUGACAUGCCUGGACAAGCCCAGGCAAGUCUUAGGUCAUAGCUUAUUCCCCUUCUUUAUUUGGAAACGUUGCUUCUCUAAACAUUCCUCAGGUCACUCCCUCUUUGCCUUUGUUCUCCUCUGCGUUUACCCCUUUAGGAAAGUUUUUAGUUGCUAGGCAAUGGGGUGCUGCCUAGACUAUGAAGUCCAGUUCCAGCCAGUGGAAUCAGAACACAGCAGUAGGGUGGAUACGUUAGAUAUAAAUGGCCCUGCCUCCUUUGUUCGGUGUCCUCUCGUGGCAAGAUGGCUAAUAGGGACACCCUUUCUGCAGAAAGUAAAGUUGCCUUGCUGAGAAAAAUUAAAUUUAUAUUUGCGUGCUACUUCUUUUGUAGCACCGAAAAUUUACAUAACAACAAUAUGGGGGUUCAUCUGGGAUUGCCAUUCCCCUCUGGGUGGUCUCCGGUCCUCUCUCGAGAGGAGGUGCCCCACUGCCUCUUUGCGGCAGCCUCGGGGGUAGAGAUCUGGGACCCACCUGGUGUGAGGAGUAUACCUGGAUUCUCGGGAACACAGGGAAAAGAGACUCCAAACCGCAGCAACCAGGGGCCUCGACCAGCCAACCUCGUGCAUUAGCCAAGGUCGGAAAUGUUGCCAAGGGGCAACAAAGUACCUUCUUGGUGGUCAACUUCCGAAGAGUUGAAUGUGUGUGUGUGAAUGCGGUAUUUUUUGUGUGAAUGGUGACAGGUUCUACUUCUGGACGGAACUUCAGGCAGUUCUAUGGCUACCUCAUAUAGCUUUGGACACAUCCUGCCGUGGGAAUUAUGCCGUCACGCUGAAGCUAAGAGAGCCCUAAAUCUCCUUUGGGGGAGCGGUCAAGUGGGAUGGUACAAAUGACAAGAGCGCAGGGGACCUAUAGAAGGGGGAAGGGAAAAUACAGGUCAACCACCUAGGGCUCCCCCAGGUGCUCUGUCACGGGGAGUCGGGGCUUUAUUUAUAAGUUUCUGUCAUGCCGCUGCCUUUUUUCAGGGCUGCCCUGCCCAGCGAGGAGACAGCCUAGUCACAGUCUGCCUGCAGAGGCUUUGCUGAGCUGCUGUGGGCUCCGCCCAACUGCCGUGUAAUCUUCCCUGCAGCCCUGUCUAUAGGGGUAUAGUUAGAACCGCCUCGGCAAUUGCGGGCCGUCUCUGUAAUGGCGGGCUGCCUCGGCAAUGGCGGGCUGCCUCAGCAACGGCAGACACUACCUCGGUAGUGGUAGACUGCCUCGGUAAUGGUGAACACCCCUCUCCCACAGAGCUGGACCUUCCGGGUUUCAGAUGUGCUUGCUGUGAAACACUCAAUCCAGAGCGUAUCAGAUUGCUCUUUUUUGUGGGGGUGGAACCAGCCGAGCCUGAUCACCUGGCUCCCUGCCUCAGACCCCCGCCUUUUCUUUUUUUUCAGCUGAACGGGUGACUGUCUCCCAGGCGUCCCAGUCACCAGUUGAAACGGCGCCCGGAUUUGUUUGAUUUCUUGUGCGUAGAUGCGCUGCGCCGGCUGAAACAGCCACUGGAGACUUGUGGCGUGUUUUCAACAGGGAAUCCCCUGGCCUAGCUCCCCGUUUCAGUCCCCCGUUCUUCAGUUGAUCGGGCAACUCUGUCUUCGAGGUGUUCUAGUCGCCAGUUGAAACGGCGCCCGGAUUUGUGUGCGAUUUUGUGCAGAGAACCGUUGGGCCAGCUGAAACAGCCUCACUGGGGGCUCGUGGUGCUUUUUCGCCCGGGAAUCUCCUGGCCUGGCUGCCUGUUUCAGUCCCUUUUUUCAGUUGAACGGGCAACUCUAUCUCCCAGGCUUUCCAGUCGCCCGUUGUGAAGGUGCCUGGAUCUGUGUGUUUUCCCGAGCGGCGACCCCCAGCACCGGGUGAAACAGCCACACUGGCGAUUUGUGGCACUUUUUCUCCCGGGAAUCUCCUGGCCUGGCUCCACGUUUCAGUCCCCUUUUAGUCAGUUGAAUGGGCGACUGUCUCCCAGGCGUUCCAGUCGCCUGUUGAAAAGGCGCCGGGAUCUGUGUGAUUUCCCAUGCAGCAACCCACUGCGCUAGCUGAAACAGCCGCACAGAGAUUGUUUUCACUUUUUUGCCCGGGAAUCUCCUGGCCUGGCUCCCUGUUUCAGUCCCCUUUUUAUCAGUUGAAUGGGCGACUCUGCCUUUCAGGAGCUCCAAUCACCAGCUAAGACGGCGCCCGGACCAAUGUAUUUUGUGCAGAGAUCCGCCACGCCAGCCAAAACAGCCAUGCUGGCAACCCGUGGGGCUCCUCUGCCUGGAAAUCUCCUGGUCUGUGGGCAGUAAAAAUCCAUGUGGAAAUGCAGUGUCCACUCACCCGCCGCGCUUUUGCUGUAAGCUGCAGUCCUGAGCUGCUCCUAAUCAGCCAUCUUGGAUCCUCCCCGAGCCUUCUUUACAAUGUACUCAGCAAUGGCAAGUUUCAAAAUGUUGUUAUUGUCUUUUGGAGUUACUGCUUUGCCUUUCUUUACCUGAGAUAGUUAAGUGUGCUUGCCAUUAGAGAAUUGCUGGAGCAGUAAUCGACACUUGAGAUUUUGCAAGGGUUCCCAAGUAUUUGUAGAACCUGGCCAUCCUUUCCAUUUUACAAGAUAACGUUGUAUAUCCUUUACUACCUUGUAGUCACACAAGUAUUUCACCUCAUAAUCGUUUAGAUUCCUUUUGGUGAUUCCAAUCAAUGUACAUGUGAGCUUUCCUUUUCUACAUAAUUCCUGAAGAGUAUCAAGCGACACUAGUCAAGGCAUACACGAAGCUCCUUGUGCCUCAGCCCCAGCUGCUGCCAUGUUGUGGAGCUUUCGUUCAAACUCAAGCCUGGAAACUAAUUGAUAGGCUGUAAUACUCUGUUUUUAAUUAUUCCAGUUAAACUUGUUCACUUGACUUAGAACUUUCCUGCUUAUACACAUCAAGUAAGAAUUUAGCAGGCUUCUUGUUUCACUUCUAGGAACCUAUGAUCAACUAGCCAUUGCCAUAGGUCCCAUAGGUCUGUGUGAGUCAGACUAUUCUGAUUGCUGCCUGGACUCUGCUGUCCAUUACAGUAACCAUGUUCAUUUUGCCUUUGGCUGAUGAUUGCCAUUUCUUGGCCUCUGACACCCCAGGAUCCAGUUACUCCCAUUGCAUUUAGGUUAAUCCCCUGGGAAGAGGGUGAAGAGGCCACUUCUGCUAGGGUUGGGGAGGCUGCUUCCACUGGUAGAAAAGAUUCAUUAAAAUUACACUUGAUCUUAGUCAAAAGGCAGAAAAGCGAUGAAAAGAUUCAUUAAAUUUAGGGGUUCAAUGUCCCCCACUUCCCUAGGGUGUUCCCAUAUAUCCCAUUCCAACUCUGGAUCUCAUUCCUUCCCAACCAAUGCCCUGUCUUUGCAGUAGACAUCCUGUGAGGCUGGGAGUUCAACUUGCAUUUUUUUUUUUUUUUUGAAACAGGGUCUCUGGUUGCCCAGACUGGAGUGUAAUGGCAUGAUCUCAGCUCACUGCAGCCUCAACCUCCCAGGCUCAGGUGUUUCUCCCACUUCAGCCUCCCAAAUAACUGGGAUUCCAGGUGCACACCACCACGUCCAGCUAAUUUUUUGUAUAUUUAGUAGAAACAGUGUUUCACUGUGUUGCCCAGGCUGGUCUUGAACUCCUGGACUCAUGCAUUCCACCCACCUCAGCCUCUGAGAUUGCUGGGAUUACAGGCCUGAGCCACUCAGCCUGGCCUCAACUUGCAUUUUAAUUCAGCCGAUUGAGGGAUGAGAUUCUGUGUUCGAGUUUUAACAAUCUCAGCCCUGUAAGAGAUAAGGUUCUCCUUCAGGACGUACGUAGACACUUUCAGAUUAUUUAUGCAGUGCUCGAGCUGGAAAUUCAGUUCCCUGAGAUCAUCCUUUUCUUUCCCUACUUCAUCCAGUGACGUUUGGAGCAGCCAUCCAAUCUCAUUGUAUUUAUUAGUUUGACAGAAAUGUUCAAAUCAUACAUAUGCAGGUCCUUGUGUCUCGCAAGUCGUAGAUUAGGAGUGUCCCAUGGUGACAUUUCGUGGAUCUCAAUUGCCAGUUCAUGCCAUGAACGAACCAGUAACCAAUAGGAUGUCUAUAUCUAUGGAUAGAGAUUGGUUUAUUAUAAAGAAUUAGCUCAUGCAAUUAUGGAGACUGACAAGCCCCAAGAUCCGCAAGGUGAUUCAGCAAAGUGGAGACGUAGAGAGUCGGUGGUGUAGCUCCGGUCCAAAGGCCAGCUUGAGGCCUGGGAAGAGCCAGUGUUUCAGUGCAAGUGUUAAGGUAGGGAAAAGCUAAUGUUGCAGUUUAAAUGCAAUCAGGAAGAAAGAGUCCUUCCUUACUGAGGGGAGGGUUAGUCUUUUUAUCUAUGCAGGCCUUCAGCUGGUUGGAUAGGACCCACCCAUAUCAUGGAGGACAAUCUGCUUUUCUCAGCCUACAAAUUUAAAUGUUAAUUUAGCUAACAUUUAAAUUCCAUCCAGAGAUGGAGUCCGCACGGGUAAGGGGCAGGGAGACUUUUAAUUUGGGAGUUACUCCCGCCCCAUUCAAGUUCUUGUCCCGUGAGAGGAGUUUCCUCAAACUUCCUCUGGAGUGAUUGAUCUUUGACUUUGGUACCUGAUUGGCUGCCCGGCUCGCAAUAGAGCCCCUCCUUCCAAGGCUUUUGGUGGGCUUUCUAAACGUAGGAAGCUCACCUGGGUGGUCCACCUUUCCCACGCACACAAAAGUUAGACCAAGAACUCUAGUUCCCGGAUGGGGAGGUGAGUGGAGGUAUGGCGCUGGGAAGUUCUUGCCUUUGAAACCAUGCCCCUUGUGGACCCGGGAAGAGAAGUUAACACAGUACUUCAGUAGCAUGCCUGUAGCAGAAGCUACUUGGGAGGCUGAGAUGGGAGGAUCAGUGUAGGAAAUAAGAAUAAAUAAAAGGUUCCUCUUCAAAGAUUUCCUCUUAGUUCAUUAUGAAUAAAUAAUGGUUUCUUCAAAGGUUAAUUUACUUUAAAGCUUCUGCUAAUAAUCUUAAAGUAGCUGUUAGUCAUAAUAAAAAGUGUACCCUGUAUUCGUAGUUCUUUCACUUUAACCUAGAUAUUUGCCCUGACAUGCCUGGACAAGCCCAGGCAAGUCUUAGGUCAUAGCUUAUUCCCCUUCUUUAUUUGGAAACGUUGCUUCUCUAAACAUUCCUCAGGUCACUCCCUCUUUGCCUUUGUUCUCCUCUGCGUUUACCCCUUUAGGAAAGUUUUUAGUUGCUAGGCAAUGGGGUGCUGCCUAGACUAUGAAGUCCAGUUCCAGCCAGUGGAAUCAGAACACAGCAGUAGGGUGGAUACGUUAGAUAUAAAUGGCCCUGCCUCCUUUGUUCGGUGUCCUCUCGUGGCAAGAUGGCUAAUAGGGACACCCUUUCUGCAGAAAGUAAAGUUGCCUUGCUGAGAAAAAUUAAAUUUAUAUUUGCGUGCUACUUCUUUUGUAGCACCGAAAAUUUACAUAACAACAAUAUGGGGGUUCAUCUGGGAUUGCCAUUCCCCUCUGGGUGGUCUCCGGUCCUCUCUCGAGAGGAGGUGCCCCACUGCCUCUUUGCGGCAGCCUCGGGGGUAGAGAUCUGGGACCCACCUGGUGUGAGGAGUAUACCUGGAUUCUCGGGAACACAGGGAAAAGAGACUCCAAACCGCAGCAACCAGGGGCCUCGACCAGCCAACCUCGUGCAUUAGCCAAGGUCGGAAAUGUUGCCAAGGGGCAACAAAGUACCUUCUUGGUGGUCAACUUCCGAAGAGUUGAAUGUGUGUGUGUGAAUGCGGUAUUUUUUGUGUGAAUGGUGACAGGUUCUACUUCUGGACGGAACUUCAGGCAGUUCUAUGGCUACCUCAUAUAGCUUUGGACACAUCCUGCCGUGGGAAUUAUGCCGUCACGCUGAAGCUAAGAGAGCCCUAAAUCUCCUUUGGGGGAGCGGUCAAGUGGGAUGGUACAAAUGACAAGAGCGCAGGGGACCUAUAGAAGGGGGAAGGGAAAAUACAGGUCAACCACCUAGGGCUCCCCCAGGUGCUCUGUCACGGGGAGUCGGGGCUUUAUUUAUAAGUUUCUGUCAUGCCGCUGCCUUUUUUCAGGGCUGCCCUGCCCAGCGAGGAGACAGCCUAGUCACAGUCUGCCUGCAGAGGCUUUGCUGAGCUGCUGUGGGCUCCGCCCAACUGCCGUGUAAUCUUCCCUGCAGCCCUGUCUAUAGGGGUAUAGUUAGAACCGCCUCGGCAAUUGCGGGCCGUCUCUGUAAUGGCGGGCUGCCUCGGCAAUGGCGGGCUGCCUCAGCAACGGCAGACACUACCUCGGUAGUGGUAGACUGCCUCGGUAAUGGUGAACACCCCUCUCCCACAGAGCUGGACCUUCCGGGUUUCAGAUGUGCUUGCUGUGAAACACUCAAUCCAGAGCGUAUCAGAUUGCUCUUUUUUGUGGGGGUGGAACCAGCCGAGCCUGAUCACCUGGCUCCCUGCCUCAGACCCCCGCCUUUUCUUUUUUUUCAGCUGAACGGGUGACUGUCUCCCAGGCGUCCCAGUCACCAGUUGAAACGGCGCCCGGAUUUGUUUGAUUUCUUGUGCGUAGAUGCGCUGCGCCGGCUGAAACAGCCACUGGAGACUUGUGGCGUGUUUUCAACAGGGAAUCCCCUGGCCUAGCUCCCCGUUUCAGUCCCCCGUUCUUCAGUUGAUCGGGCAACUCUGUCUUCGAGGUGUUCUAGUCGCCAGUUGAAACGGCGCCCGGAUUUGUGUGCGAUUUUGUGCAGAGAACCGUUGGGCCAGCUGAAACAGCCUCACUGGGGGCUCGUGGUGCUUUUUCGCCCGGGAAUCUCCUGGCCUGGCUGCCUGUUUCAGUCCCUUUUUUCAGUUGAACGGGCAACUCUAUCUCCCAGGCUUUCCAGUCGCCCGUUGUGAAGGUGCCUGGAUCUGUGUGUUUUCCCGAGCGGCGACCCCCAGCACCGGGUGAAACAGCCACACUGGCGAUUUGUGGCACUUUUUCUCCCGGGAAUCUCCUGGCCUGGCUCCACGUUUCAGUCCCCUUUUAGUCAGUUGAAUGGGCGACUGUCUCCCAGGCGUUCCAGUCGCCUGUUGAAAAGGCGCCGGGAUCUGUGUGAUUUCCCGUGCAGCAACCCACUGCGCUAGCUGAAACAGCCGCACAGAGAUUGUUUUCACUUUUUUGCCCGGGAAUCUCCUGGCCUGGCUCCCUGUUUCAGUCCCCUUUUUAUCAGUUGAAUGGGCGACUCUGCCUUUCAGGAGCUCCAAUCACCAGCUAAGACGGCGCCCGGACCAAUGUAUUUUGUGCAGAGAUCCGCCACGCCAGCCAAAACAGCCAUGCUGGCAACCCGUGGGGCUCCUCUGCCUGGAAAUCUCCUGGUCUGUGGGCAGUAAAAAUCCAUGUGGAAAUGCAGUGUCCACUCACCCGCCGCGCUUUUGCUGUAAGCUGCAGUCCUGAGCUGCUCCUAAUCAGCCAUCUUGGAUCCUCCCCGAGCCUUCUUUACAAUGUACUCAGCAAUGGCAAGUUUCAAAAUGUUGUUAUUGUCUUUUGGAGUUACUGCUUUGCCUUUCUUUACCUGAGAUAGUUAAGUGUGCUUGCCAUUAGAGAAUUGCUGGAGCAGUAAUCGACACUUGAGAUUUUGCAAGGGUUCCCAAGUAUUUGUAGAACCUGGCCAUCCUUUCCAUUUUACAAGAUAACGUUGUAUAUCCUUUACUACCUUGUAGUCACACAAGUAUUUCACCUCAUAAUCGUUUAGAUUCCUUUUGGUGAUUCCAAUCAAUGUACAUGUGAGCUUUCCUUUUCUACAUAAUUCCUGAAGAGUAUCAAGCGACACUAGUCAAGGCAUACACGAAGCUCCUUGUGCCUCAGCCCCAGCUGCUGCCAUGUUGUGGAGCUUUCGUUCAAACUCAAGCCUGGAAACUAAUUGAUAGGCUGUAAUACUCUGUUUUUAAUUAUUCCAGUUAAACUUGUUCACUUGACUUAGAACUUUCCUGCUUAUACACAUCAAGUAAGAAUUUAGCAGGCUUCUUGUUUCACUUCUAGGAACCUAUGAUCAACUAGCCAUUGCCAUAGGUCCCAUAGGUCUGUGUGAGUCAGACUAUUCUGAUUGCUGCCUGGACUCUGCUGUCCAUUACAGUAACCAUGUUCAUUUUGCCUUUGGCUGAUGAUUGCCAUUUCUUGGCCUCUGACACCCCAGGAUCCAGUUACUCCCAUUGCAUUUAGGUUAAUCCCCUGGGAAGAGGGUGAAGAGGCCACUUCUGCUAGGGUUGGGGAGGCUGCUUCCACUGGUAGAAAAGAUUCAUUAAAAUUACACUUGAUCUUAGUCAAAAGGCAGAAAAGCGAUGAAAAGAUUCAUUAAAAUUUAGGGGUUCAAUGUCCCCCACUUCCUUAGGGUGUUCCCAUAUAUCCCAUUCCAACUCUGGAUCUCAUUCCUUCCCAACCAAUGCCCUGUCUUUGCAGUAGACAUCCUGUGAAGCUGGGAGUUCAACUUGCAUUUUUUUUUUUUUUUGAAACAGGGUCUCUGGUUGCCCAGACUGGAGUGUAAUGGCAUGAUCUCAGCUCACUGCAGCCUCAACCUCCCAGGCUCAGGUGUUUCUCCCACUUCAGCCUCCCAAAUAACUGGGAUUCCAGGUGCACACCACCACGUCCAGCUAAUUUUUUGUAUAUUUAGUAGAAACAGUGUUUCACUGUGUUGCCCAGGCUGGUCUUGAACUCCUGGACUCAUGCAUUCCACCCACCUCAGCCUCUGAGAUUGCUGGGAUUACAGGCCUGAGCCACUCAGCCUGGCCUCAACUUGCAUUUUAAUUCAGCCGAUUGAGGGAUGAGAUUCUGUGUUCGAGUUUUAACAAUCUCAGCCCUGUAAGAGAUAAGGUUCUCCUUCAGGACGUACAUAGACACUUUCAGAUUAUUUAUGCAGUGCUCGAGCUGGAAAUUCAGUUCCCUGAGAUCAUCCUUUUCUUUCCCUACUUCAUCCAGUGACGUUUGGAGCAGCCAUCCAAUCUCAUUGUAUUUAUUAGUUUGACAGAAAUGUUCAAAUCAUACAUAUGCAGGUCCUUGUGUCUCGCAAGUCGUAGAUUAGGAGUGUCCCAUGGUGACAUUUCGUGGAUCUCAAUUGCCAGUUCAUGCCAUGAACGAACCAGUAACCAAUAGGAUGUCUAUAUCUAUGGAUAGAGAUUGGUUUAUUAUAAAGAAUUAGCUCAUGCAAUUAUGGAGACUGACAAGCCCCAAGAUCCGCAAGGUGAUUCAGCAAAGUGGAGACGUAGAGAGUCGGUGGUGUAGCUCCAGUCCAAAGGCCAGCUUGAGGCCUGGGAAGAGCCAGUGUUUCAGUGCAAGUGUUAAGGUAGGGAAAAGCUAAUGUUGCAGUUUAAAUGCAAUCAGGAAGAAAGAGUCCUUCCUUACUGAGGGGAGGGUUAGUCUUUUUAUCUAUGCAGGCCUUCAGCUGGUUGGAUAGGACCCACCCAUAUCAUGGAGGACAAUCUGCUUUUCUCAGCCUACAAAUUUAAAUGUUAAUUUAGCUAACAUUUAAAUUCCACCCAGAGAUGGAGUCUGCACAGGUAAGGGGCAGGGAGACUUUUAAUUUGGGAGUUACUCCCGCCCCAUUCAAGUUCUUGUCCCGUGAGAGGAGUUUCCUCAAACUUCCUCUGGAGUGAUUGACCUCUGACUUUGGUACCUGAUUGGCUGCCCGGCUCGCAAUAGAGCCCCUCCUUCCAAGGCUUUUGGUGGGCUUUCUAAACGUAGGAAGCUCACCUGGGUGGUCCACCUUUCCCACGCACACAAAAGUUAGACCAAGAACUCUAGUUCCCGGAUGGGGAGGUGAGUGGAGGUAUGGCGCUGGGAAGUUCUUGCCUUUGAAACCAUGCCCCUUGUGGACCCGGGAAGAGAAGUUAACACAGUACCUCAGUAGCAUGCCUGUAGCAGAAGCUACUUGGGAGGCUGAGAUGGGAGGAUCAGUGUAGGAAAUAAGAAUAAAUAAAAGGUUCCUCUUCAAAGAUUUCCUCUUAGUUCAUUAUGAAUAAAUAAUGGUUUCUUCAAAUGUUAAUUUACUUUAAAGCGUUUGCUUAUAAUCUUAAAGUAGCUAUUAUUCUUAAAGAAAAAAAGUGUACUCUGUCUUUUUGUGUAGCAGGAGCAGCCGUGGGACAGGGAUCUCUCGGACACUGAAUUCAGGAAGAAGGUUUAUUCAGCUGGGAGCAAUGUGGCAUAGUUGCCUAACAGCCAAACCUGUCUAACAAAUUCAGGUUCAGCAUUUAUAUAGGCUUAUACUUUAGAUGUUACACAUCGAAGAGUCUUUGGUUCAUAGUUUUAGGCUCACAUGUGAAAAAGUUUUUGUUUACAGUUAUAGGACUCACAUGUGAAAAGUUUUCUGUUUACAGUCCAGGAAUCACAUAUGCAAGGGUUCCAGUUCACAGUUUUAUGACUUACAUGUGAAAAGGUUUCUUGUUUUUUCUUGUUUUAAUUAAAAAUAAUGCCUCCUGGAGAGUUUCCUCAAGGCCUAGCCUUUCGUUUUCAGGUUGGAGAUUCAGGAGGCGCCAGCUGGCCUGCGCUCUUUUUUAUUUAGAUGCACAGUGGAUUACAGAGCGGAGGGAAUCCCAAAUGCCUGGGUCUUCCUCAUCCCCCACUUUGAGACCCUCACAAUUUUAUAAUAUUAGUGAGAGGUCUCACUUUCUUGCUCACUUUCCAGAUUUUCUGAAGAAACUGAUAAUGUUUCAUAUAAUAUACUUGUGAUGUUAUUCUCGGCUAACUCCAGCAGUGAUGAAUCCCCUAAUGAUCUGAAGGAACAGGGGGAGUAGACAAGGGAGCAACAAACAAACACCUAUUAUUAUUAUAACACUGAUGAUGAGGGUUUUGAAUCCUCCCAAGCAUGAGAACCAACCUCCAAAUAAGGACUCAGGGUUAAAUCCGUGCCACACCUUUACAGGCACGUGUGCCAGUUUAGUCAUGUCUCGCACAAUAUCCUCCACUGUUUGCUCCUGGUCAUCUAUGUGCAGACAGCAGUUGGUUAGAUUGAAUUUUCCAUAGACUCCUCCUUCAGCUGCUAGCAAAUAAUCUAGGGCCAGCCAGUUCUGAUAAAUCACAUUUCUCAUUUGAGUUUUUUGUUGUUGUUAUUGGGCUAAAAGGGACAGAGCUUUGCCCGUUUCCUUAGUGAGUAUUUCCAAAACAACCUGCAACUGGAUGAUCCGGUCGAGCAUGUAAAUAGGGGUCUGGUAUCCCCAUGAGCUAUCCUCUGCCCAUGUAGCCGGCCCAUAAUACUUAAUAGUUUUCUCCAGUGGCUACUUAUCUGUCCGUUCUCCUAUCUUUAGGUUUCUUUUGCUCUCUAGCGGAGUAGACUGAAUACAUUAACAGCCCACCUGUCUUAACAGAUAACAGGAAAGAAGAGGGCUUAAUGAUGCCUAUGACACAGCUGCCUGUCCAUCUCAUGGAUUACACACCUUAUAUUGAGUACCGUUAUAUAAACAGGUUCCCUUCUGUGUCCCUGUACAUUUUAAGAACUGUAGGACAAAAGAAUGGCAGUGACUUUUAUGCUCUACCUGGUGUACAUACUGAGGGCAUUCUUUAAAAUUAGUUAAUGCUCCUACUGUACAAGUCCAAAUAUAAAGAACAAGUCCCACAAUUAAUUUCCUCAUGCUUCGGCCAUGUGUGGACCAGCCAGCUUCCGGGAUGUGGCUGGAGCAAGGCUUGUCAUCCUUUGUAAGGUGAUUCUGCAGUCCUUGCCUUGGUCCAAGUCUCAGGUUUUUACACAGCUGUGGUGGAUUCAGGCUGGGAUUCCCUCUACCUUCACAGCUGUGGGAUUGGUCAGGAUCAGGUCUGAGGUCCUUUCCAUUGUGGCUUUAGAGGGACUGUACUCCUGUCCUUUAUCCACACAUGAUUACCUAGUGAGAAAGGGUGAACUGGGGAGAAAAAGGCUUACAGAACAUUUGUUAUUUACUCAGGUUGAAGUAUCCUAAGAGAUUCUCCCUAGGGCUAGUAACUAGCAUCCUAACUCAAUCUCUCCUCACUCCCAAGGAGUUCCGUAGGAGUGCCCAGAGUAGGGGAGGGGGCCCAUGGUAUAAGACUUCAUAGGGAAAUAUCCUGUUUUUCCUAAAGGGGGUGCCUCUAAUUUUGAAUAACACCAAAAUGGGAUUUUUUGUUUAAUGGGAUAGUGGCCCUCGAUUUGCACAACAGGUUUUUGCCAGAGAAGUGGGGCAGGGACAAUUCAUUAAGUACAAGAAAGUCUGUUCUCUUAAUACCUUAAUUGAUUUAACAACACUGGCCUCGUUCCUUUCGAUGGGGGGUUACAGGGCUGUCGUUCGGACCAUGGGCUCUUUGGGGGCAUAUGAGUCCAGCUCCCCUCUCUUUUAGUUCAGUGGCCCUUCCAUUAGAUUGAACAGAGCCCCUUCACACUCUGUUUGGAUGAAGAUUUGGAUCCUCCUGCUUAGGAUCGUCCUGUUCCUCAGAUAAUUGUGGACAUUUUUUCUUCCAGCGUCCUAUUUCUCAACACAAUGCACACUGAUCACAUUGCAGGCCCGGGCGGGCAGACUGUGGGGGUUUCCAGGAACCCCCCUUUUUCCAUACUCUUGGGGGUUCUGGUAAUCUGCAGGAACAUGCUCCUCCAGCCAAUUAGAAGCGGCUUGGAGUAUUCUCCGCCUUUCGUCUGUGUUAAAAAGAUGCAUAAGCAGCUGAUGGCAAUCAGCCCAAAUGGGGUUAUGAAUCUGAAUAAUAGUUUGCAGUAUAUCAAUAAGAGCUUGGGGUUUCUCGGUAUUAGACGUGUUGUCAUUUUUCCAAUUGAUAAGAUCAGCCGAGGUUAACAGCAGGUACAUGAAAACACGCCUUUCUACCAUGUGGCCAUCCUCGUCCACUCCUGUGUACCUGUGCUCUCUCAAAGGCAUCUGCACCCCGGCCUUGGAUUGCAGACAGGCUGCCUGCCAGAGGGGGAGUUCCCUCUGGGAAGCGGGCAGCAAUGGGCGGAGUUUUUUUACAUUCUGUUUUAUCUGCUCUGGAGGAUUUUAGGGGUGUGCUGCUCUGGUGGGGAUGCUGAGGCCUCCGGCCCACGGGCAGGGAGUCCUUGAGGAGGAGGAGGCAUUAUCGACAAAAACUCUUCUGCCGCUGGGUUGACCAAAACCUUGGGAGCCAUUGUUUCUGCCACUGAAUCUGCCCGGGCCUUGGGAAUCCGCUUUUCUCAGCGGCAAGGGGGAUGGUGGUUUCUAGCAGUCUUUCCCUUGGCUACUAAAACAGUCGCUGCCUGCUCUCUUAGCCACUUUGGAGGGUUUAACACUAACUGCAACCACGAAUCUAUGUAUGGAAAUUGAUCGAGGUGUUCUAGCUCACCGUAUUUAACCUCAUGCCUUACUUUCGAGACAAGGGACCUGUCUAGGGUCCCCUCUGGGGGCCAACCUACUCUAAAUGGUGGCCAAUCUUUCCUACAUAAACCCUUAAUUUCUCUGAUGUCAUAGUUACUUCAUAAUUCCCACUAAAUCUUUUCUUGAAAUUUUUCAGCAUGGUUUCUAAAGGGGUGGAAUGGCUAUGGAAAUGACCCAUAUGAACACUUCAAAGAAACAAUUCUCACAGUUAGGGGAGUGUUAGUUCACUCACAGCAGUUCCCGUUCCCACCUAGCAAGGUCUCUGUUUACAGUUUCAGGAAUUACAUAUGAAAGGGUUCCAGUUUACAGUUUUAGGACUCACAUGUGAAAAGGUUUCUGGUUUGAUCUUGUUUUAAGUAAAAAUAGUGCCUUCUGGAGAGUUUCGUCAAGGCCUAGCCUGUUGUUUUCGGGAAGGAGAUUCAGGAGGUGCCAGCUGGCCUGCCCUCUCUUUUAUUGAGAUGCACAGUGGAUGACAGAGGGGGAGGGAAUCCCCGAUGCCUGGGUCUCCCUCCUCACUUAGUUCUUUCACUUUAACCUAGAUAUUUGCCCUGACAUGCCUGGACAAGCCCAGGCAAGUCUUAGGUCAUAGCUUAUUCCCCUUCUUUAUUUGGAAACAUUGCUUCUCUAAGCAUUCCUCAAGUUACUCCCUCUUUGCCUUUGUUCUCCUCUGCGUUUACCCCUUUAGGAAAGUUUUUAGUUGCUAGGCAACGGGGUGCUGCCUAGACUAUGAAGUCCAGUUCCAGCCAGUGGAAUCAGAACACAGCAGUAGGGUGGAUACGUUAGAUAUAAAUGGCCCUGCCUCCUUUGUUCCAUGUCCUCUCAUGGCAAGAUGGCUAAUAGGGACACCCUUUCUGCAGAAAGUAAAGUUGCCUUGCUGAGAAAAAUUAAAUUUAUAUUUGCGUGCUACUUCUUUUGUAGCACCGAAAAUUUACAUACAACAUGGGGGUUCAUCUGGGAUUGCCAUUCCCCUCUGGGUGGUCUCCAGUCCUCUCUCGAGAGGAGGUGCCCCACUGCCUCUUUGCGGCAGCCUCGGGGGUAGAGAUCUGGGACCCACCUGGUGUGAGGAGUAUACCUGGAUUCUCGGGAACACAGGGAAAAGAGACUCCAAACCGCAGCAACCAGGGGCCUCGACCAGCCAACCUCGUGCAUUAGCCAAGGUCGGAAAUGUUGCCGAGGGGCAACAAAGUACCUUCUUGGUGGUCAACUUCCAAAGGGUUGAAUGUGUGUGCAAAUUAGAUAUUGUUUGUGUGAAUGGUGACAAGUUCUACUUCUGGAUGGAAUGAGUGAAUCCUCUCUGCAGUUCUAUGGCUACCUCAUACAGCUUUGGACAGAUACUGCCAUGGGAAUUAUACCGUCAUGCUGACGCUAAGAGAGCCCUAAAUCUCCUUUGGGGUAGCGGCCAAGUGGGAUGGUAGAAAUGACAAGAGCACAAAGGACCUAUUGAAGGGGGAAGGGAGGAAACAGGUGAACCUCCUAGGGCAGUGAAGGCAAGAAAUUUCUAGCUUGAUGGGUUGAGUUUUCCAUAAAUGGAAUAGGUGGGAGAUUCCCAGCUUGGGUGGGUGUUGAGUCUUCUGUAAACAGAAUAGGUGAGAGAUUCUCAGCUUGGGGACUUGGGCCUUCUCUUAAUGGAAUAGGAAAGAGAUUUCCAGCUUGGGGGGUUGAGUCUUCAUAAAAAUGGAAUAGGCAAGAGAUUCCUAGCUUGUGGAGUUGUGUCUUCCAUAACAAAUGAUGAAAGUAUUGCUGUUUUAUUUGCACUAAAGAACCGAUCCUCAAGCCCACAGUUGUCUGUCCAAAAUUUGCGUUGGAUGAGGAUUAGUUCCAUCAACGCUUUAUAAUGUAUAUCAACAACAAAACUCUUUCUCACAAGAAGAAAUAGACUAUGCUCUCUGUUGGUGGCAGAGGCCAGUUCUCCUCUACCCAUUAAGAGGAGGAAGAAAAUAAAGUCAGGAGCAGGCUCACCUGAAAAGGGUGGAGUUUUACCUGUGAGCAGUUCAUGUAAAUGGGACCUUUUAGACCAUCUUCCCUUGUUUCCGGCUCCAGCUCCUGUUCCCACCAUUUCCAUGGCACUGCUGCCUCCUCUCUAAGCAGUAACUGCUGCCCCUGAACCCAACCCAGAAUUUCCUACUCCCCCAUACAACCUAGGCUCUUCGGAGCUAGCAUCUCAAAGGCCUGAUCAUUGCCAGCCUGAGUGUUCUUUCUUGAAUAAAGGGCUCCAGAGGAAGAUAGAGCAAUGCAAAAGAGAUAUUCAAAGUUUUUCUUUCCCAUCUUCCAAGGAAUCAGCUUCAGCUUCAAAGCUUUUUUUUUUUUCCUCUAAAGAAGAUGCCUCACACAGGAGGUGCGGUUAGUUUUGUGAAGCCUCAAGGAGGCAUGGUUGGUUUUGUGAAUACUCCCUUAACUGCUUCUAAGGACCGGGGUCUAAAGAGAGAACUUAAGCCAUUAUUAGAUGACCCUGAUGGGGUAGCAGAACAGAUUGAUCUGUUUUUAGGUUCCCAGUUAUAUACUUAGACCGAGUUAAUGUCCAUUCUAAGUAUUCUCUUUUCAAGGGAAGAAACAGUAGAUGUGGAGAGCCAAAGAGAGAGAGAGAGACAGAGUCAAAGGGGGAGAGAGAGAGGUAGAGAGAGAAAGAGAGAAGGAGAGACAAAGGAGAGAGAUUAGGAAGAAGAGAAAGAAAUAUUAAGAAAAUUAUAGGUAUAAGAAUGCACCCUUAUCUCCAGGUGGAUAGUGUCAGAAUAAAAAAGAAAAAAAAGAAUGCACCUUUUAGCAAGGCAUAGUGGCAUACACCUGUAGUCCCAGCUAAUCGGAAGGCUGAGGCAGGAGAAUUGCUUGAACCUGGGAGGCAGGGGUUGCAGUGAGCUGAGAUUAUGCCACUGCACCACUCCAGACUGGAGACAGAGCAAGACUCCAUCUCAAAAAAAAAAAAAAAAAAAAAAAAAAAAAAAAAUUCACCUUUAGAGGAAAGUUAUAAAACAAAGAAAGUUAAGAUUGUCAGGCCAGGUGUGGUGACUCAGGCCUGUAAUCCUAGCACUUUGGGAGGUCAAGGUGAGUGGAUCACCUCAGGUCAGGAGUUGAAGACCACCCUGACCAUCGUGAUAAAACCCCAUCUUCUAAAAAAAAUUUUUUUUUAAUUUAAAAAAAGAAAGAUUGUCUAUGAUAGUUGUGAAAAAUGUUAUAAAAAGGAAUUUAUGCAAGAAAUGCAUAAUUUUUGUUUUGAAACUUUAAACUAGUUUUGAAAUGUUUAUUAUUGUAAAGAAAAUUCUGGUGUAAACAUGUUGGCUAAAGUUGAACAGGUAUCAUCCAGUUUUUCUGUAAACUGAACAUUGAAAUAAAAGCACAACAGGUUUUUCUUAAAGCACUAACCUGCUCUUUAACAAAGAUUUUAAAAGGUCUCUUAGUACAGGCACCACUCCAAGAAUUUCCAGUACACCAGCACCAGCCUGGAGACCAACCUACCUCGUGCUGCUAACCACCGAGACUACCAUUUGUACAGCAGAAAAAAGAUGGACACAUCAUACCUGAGUCAAGAAAGUGCCAUCACUGUUAGAAUCAUGGACAUUGUUCCAGGAUCAGACCCUACCAAGUUAAAGCUAAGAAAAGCUUAGUCUAUCUUUUCUUCUUUUUAGCUACUCCCCAUCUUAUUGUUAAUAUAAAUAGAUCUAACUCACCUCAAGUUAUUACUUUUGAUGCCUGUUUAGUUAUACCUUCUGGAGAUUUACAUGACAGCUUACUACUUCAGAAAAAAAAUAUCUCUGUCCCUCUUAGACUUCCUCAGAUUAGAAAGACAUAAUGAGUUCCUCUAAGGAUACUAGUAAUCCAAGGAAUAGUAGCUGUAUUAAUUGGUAGGAAUCAGACUCUUGUCCCUCUAAAACAGAGUAUCUGUGCUCUGCUUAAUCUAAUGUCAUAUGGAACACUAAAGGUUUAGGAUAGACCUGCUUCCACAGGCUUUUGAGAGUCCUUAAAAUCAUAUAUCCAUUUCACCAAAGGAAUUAUUCCUUCUAGGUAUUCCAUAUAUUGAAUUUUUCCUUCAAUAUAACCAAUAUAAUUCUAUACAGCUUACUAUUGUUAUUGCAACAUCUGAAAACUCAUCCCCUUCAUUAAGUCAUAUUUAUGAUAUAGGAGCUGACAUUUCAGGAAAGAAGAAAUUUUUGAAAUGUGCUUUAUUGCUCCUUCAACCUCUUUAUCAAUCACUCCUCCUAGACACAAUGACAAACCCAAGCUCUCAGUGGUAGAAAUAGAGGACCUAAGGCAAACCGUAGCCAUUGAAAGAGGAUAUAAAGAUGCAAAUGCCUGGUUAGAAUGGAUUAACUAUUUUGUUCGCACCUUAAAGAAAUGCAACUGUUAUGCUUGUGCGUACUGGUAGGCCAGAGGCCCUUUCCACUUGGAUGGUCCUCAAAUCAAGCAGACAUGGAAUAUAUGGUAGCUCUUUUUCAAGAUUUUAUUGCUUGGAAUAAUGAAUUGUGCCAAGUUAUUUUGCUGCUAUUUCCUGAGGUUCAGUAUCCUGUGGGUCAGCACCCAAGGGCCAUGCAGCCUCUAUCUCCCAAGGUGAAGUUCGCCUCGUGUCUUUCAUGACAGGGGGAGAACUUAGUGUUCCUUGGAAACUUAACAGGAUGCAGUUGAAAUUAGGCACUUCCAAGAGCUGGCUCAUCAGUCCAUCCUUACUCAUCCCCGAGCAAAUGCAUGGUGGUAUUGUGGAGGACCUUUACUGGACACUCUGCCAAAUAAUUGGAGCAGCACUUGCACUCUAAUGCAAUUUGCUAUCCCUUUUACCCUGGCAUUUCAUCAACCAGAAAAAGAGAAAAUAUGACAUUUGCGAACGAAAGAAGCUUCUUAUAGGUCCUUUGAUUCCCAUGUCUAUCUAAAUGCAAUUGGAGUUCCUCGAGGAGUACUAGAUAAAUUUACAGCCUGAGAUCAGAUAGCUGCAAGAUUUGAGCCAAUGUUGUUUUUGUAGGUAACAAUAAGAAUUUAGAUUGAAUAAACUACAUUUAUUACAACCAACAGCGGUUUGUUAUCUAUACUAAAAAUGCUGUCAAAAGAAUAACUGAACAAUUAAGAUCCACUAGCCAAAUGUCCUAGGAAAACAGAAUAGCCCUAGAUAUGAUAUUAGUAGAGAAAGGGGGUGUUUGUGUUAUUAUUAAAACCCAGUGUUGUGCCGUUAUUCCAAACAACACUGCUUCUGAUGAGACCAUAACAAAAGCCCUCCAAGGACUUACUGCUUUAUCAAAUGAGCUAGCUAAAAAUUCUGGCAUCAAUAACCCUAUUCAAAUUGACUUACAAGAUGGUUCAGUCAAUGGAAGGAAACCAUAACCUCAAUUCUUACCUCUCUAGCAACUGUGAUAAGUAUACUGCUUCUUGUUAGAUGUUGUAUCAUACCAUGCAUCCAAGGACUUGUGCAGAGGCUAGUAAACACAACUCUUACUAAAAUAUCCCCAACCCCUCCUGUACCCUAUUGAGAUAGAUUAUUUCUUUUAGAAGAACAAACAAAACAACUGAGUCAAGAUAUGUUAAAUAAGUUUGAAGAGGAACUAUAAAAUAGAAAAAGGGAAGAAUUAUAGGAAAUAAUAAAAUGCUCCUCUUCAAAGCUUUCCUCAGUUCAUUACAAAUAAAUAAUAGUUUUUUCAAAGAUUAAUUUACUUUAAAGCUUCUGCUAAUAAUCUUAAAGUAGCUGUUAGUCAUAAUAAAGAAGUAAAUAUUUCCUGUGUUCUUAGUUCUUAUACUCUAACCUAGAUAUUUGUUCUGAUAAGCCUGGACAAGCCCAGGCAAGUCUUAGGUCAUAGCUUAUUCCCCUUCCUUAUUUGAAAAUGUUGCUUCUCUAAGCAUUCCUCAAGUUACUUCCUCUUUUCCUUUGUUCUCCUCUGCAUUUACCUCUUUAGGAAAGUUUUAAGUUAGCCAACCGGGUGCAGCUUAGACUGUGAAGUCCAGUUCCAGCCAAUGGAAUGAGGACACAGCAAUAGGGUGGAUGCGUUAGAUAUAAAUGGCCCUGCCUCCUUUGUUCAGUGCCCUCUUGUGGCAAGGUGACUAAUGGGAGCACCCUUUCUGUAGAAAGUAAAGUUGCCUUGCUAAGGAAAAUUAAAUUUAUAUUCAAGUGCUACUUCUUUUGCGGCACCACAAAUUUACAUAUGACAGUCACUCUUGACUAGGGAGGUCGAGGCUGCAGUGAGCUGAAAUUGCACCACUGCACUCCAGCCCAACUUAGACCCUGUCAAAUGAAUACAUUUUGUAUGUAUGUAUGUAUGUUAACCUCAUCCAAAAAUAUCCUCACAGAACACCCAGAAUAAUAUUUGACCAAAUACCUGGGCACCAAUGGCAUAUUCAACUUGAUACAUAAAAUUAAUCCUCACAGUACCAUACUUUACAACUUUUGGAGUAAAGCUGGAAUGUCAUCACAUUUCCAAGACUAACUCAAUGUCCACAAAUAAUGCUUAAGUCAUGAGGAUCAUCUCAACUUUGGUUUUGGAUGCCUGACAAGCUGUCACUCUUCAACCUAAAUGUCCGAUUUGCAGACAUUUUAUUAUCAAGAGAAGUAACAAUGCCAAGCAGACUAUUCCAGGUCAAAAUAGUCAAAUUAAUAAUUCACAAAUUAUUUUUAGGUAUAAAUCAUAAAUUAUUGUAUGUUUUGAAGGUAUCACAAAGUUAAAGAAAAGUUGCAAGAACAAUACAGAUAACUUUUUUCCUGAACCAUUUGAGAGUAAGUUGCAGACCUGGUGCCCUUCAUUUCUGAAUACUUUAGUGUGCAUUUUCUACAAACAAGUACAUUUUCCAGCAUAACCACAGUGUAUCCAUCAAUGUCAUUAAAUUAAUACUGGUACUUUACUAACACCUCCUCCUCAGACCCUAUCCAAAUUAUACCUAUUAUCAUAAUAAUCUCAUAAUUUAUAGCAAGAUGAUCCAAACCAGGAACGUGCAUUGCAUGUUUAUGAAUGUUUUAAAAACAAGUCUGUGUAGUGAGCGAAGCCACAGUGAUAGAAGAUGUAAAAGCUUUGCGUCUAGAAUUUGUUCUGAAAACCCUGAGAUUCAAGUAAUACAUUAUUUCAUUUACUGUUUCACACAGAGAAUCCCUCAUUUAUAAGAGUUUGCCUUUCUAUCUGAUUUCCACAGGAAAUGAUACUAUCAGUAUCAUACUCAGAAUCUAAUUACAGACAAGGCACUAACCUCUCACCUGUUUUCAGCUUUGUGUAAAGACCAGGGAUCAGAACAUCCCUCUCUACUAUUUCAUACCUAAGUGUGGGAGUUGAUCCAAAUGAAAAAUAUUUUUAAAAGUUUGUAAGCAAAAAGAUUUAAAAGGUAAAAAUUUUUUACUUGAAUAAUUUUAUCUGGCAGAUCUAUGGAAAGAUUAGGUAACUUUUUGGAUCUCUGAAUAUACCUAAUAGAAGUUUGGAAGGACCAUGUCAAAAUUAAUUAAUGUGAACUGACAAAGAUUUGGGGUUCAAAGUAAAAACUCAGCUUUGGAAAAGUGAGCAAGUACUUAAUCAGAAACAAAAAAAAAGUGAGGUGAAAAUGGUUUCCAGGUGCUGUUGCUGUUAUAGUUUGAAUCAUAAAGUUAUUAAAAGGCUGCUGUAACAAACCACCAUAGACUGGGUGACUUAAAAAGAACAAAACUUUAUUUCUCACAGUUCUGGAGGCUGAGAAGUCUAAGAUCAAGGCAUCAGCAGAUUCAGCGUCUGGUGAGGGCCCACUUUCUGGUUCACAGAUAGCACCUUCUCACUGUCUCCCCACUCGGUAGAAGGGGCAAGGGGUCUCUCUUGGUACUCUUUUAUUAAGGUCACUAAUCCCAUCCAUGGGGCUCCACAUUCAUGACCUAUUCACCUCCCAAAGGCCCUAUACCUACCAUCAUAUGGGGGAUUUGAUUUUAAUUUGUGAAUUUGGGGGAAGAGGGACAAACAUUUGUUUUGUAGCAAAAGGGGUAGAGUAACAUCUGCAAAUAACUUGAGGAAAGAAUUAUUAUUUAAAAACCAUUAUUCAAUUGGAUUUAAAUAAUUUCAAGAAUGAAAUGAAAAUUCUGGUAAUGGGUGGAAACAUAGGUAAAUUCCCCUUUUCCAUUUACUACUACCUGCCUGAACAACAGUCAUUUCUCAUUAAUAGGAAUUUGAAGAGAUCAUUAGUAAAAAGUCUUGAUCAGGAAUUGGGUAUAGCUGUUUCCAGCUAUACACAAAAAAUCUUAUAUGAAACGUAUAUUCACAGAAGACGCUCAAGUAUGGCAUUAAAAAUGUCGUUUAUUUAAAUAUUUAUACAAAUUUAACUGUAUUUUCUUUUUUUGUAAUAACUAUAUGAAAUAAAUACAAAGUAACACAUUUUUACCAAUCCCCCUUCCCAUCCUUCUCACCACCCUCAAACUCCCACCGAAUCAGAAUCAGAGAAACAGCCAGAGGGAUGUCUCUAUGGAGACAAAGGGAGGCCUUGCACCCAGGCAGUUCAGCAGCUCCUGGUGGGUGGCCCUUCCCAUCUGAGUACCCCUCAAUGUGCCUGCUCCUCCUGGGAUCCUUUCUGCUUCCUUGGGCCUCUGCUUUUGGUCUGCAGUGGUUGGUUAUGUAGAGGGGUCGGUAUUAGUGUUGUUCCAGGCCAAGCUACAGGUUGAGCAGGUCACAUAGCAAGACAGGCCCAGCUGCGGACUCUGAUGUCUGCAGUUAGGAGCGGCAGGAAGUAAUGGAUGCACCAGGCGCUGACUCAGCCUGUCCCUAAGCCUUAGUCUAGGGGAAGGGUCUGGCUGUUUACCUGCCUUCCUAUUUGGAGCUGAUCCUAGGACCAAAUGGGAUGCCAUCGUCCAAGGGCAGGGAGAUGCUAGAAGGGAGGUCCUCAGAAGAGAAUGAGGCCUAAAUGCCAAGGCAGGAAGGGGAUCAAUCCCAGCAGCACCUUCUGGUGGUAGUUGGGGGAAUAAAAUAGCCAGAGAAGAGAUGCCCUGAAGGCAUCUCCAGAGCUUGAGUCUCUCCAUAGCCAACCUGAGCUCCUAAACCCCUCUGGACUAGGUACCCUUCUCCACUUACCUGCCUACUCAAGAAAGAUAAGACAAGGCCAGGCGCAGUGUGGUUCAUGCCUGUAAUCCCAGCACUUUGGGAGGCCUGAAGUCAGGAGUUCAAGACCGGCCUAGCCAACAUGCUGAAACCCUGUCAUUACUAAAAAUACAAAAAUUAGCCAGGCAUGAUGAUGGACACCUGUAAUCCCAGCUACUGAGGAGGCUGAGACAGGAGAAUCACUUGAACCUGGGAGACGGUGGUUGCAGUGAGCCGAGACUGUGCCACUGCAUUCCAGCCUGGGCAACAGAGUGAGACUCAGAAAAGAAAGAAAGAAAUAAUGAGAGAGAGAGAGAAAAGAAAGAUGGACCUUCUGGCAGGUGGGAAGGGAAGGGAGAUGGUGCUGGAGGAUGAUGUGGUGGUGGGGCAGGCAAGUCUUCACCUCAAAGAGUUGGGUCACCAACACUGCCUUGAAGCUGCCAUCUUCCUGGAGGCCACCACAGUCUUCAGGUGGUAACCCCAAGCUUCAGUGGCCCUGGCCCUAUAAAAUAUAAAGCCCUACCUUUCUCCACCUGAUCUACUUCCCAUCUUACUUCCCAUGCCCCAGCCAUUCCCAGCAGGAUAAGCCAGAACCCGCUGUCUGGUUUCCAGGCCUUAGCUACUGCUGAAUUCUCAGGUGGAUUCUCCUCCCUCUCACAACCAGAGAAACCCCUACUCAUCUCUCAAGACAGUUCAUAAUCACCUUCUCCGGGAUCUUCCCUCACCUUCCUUCAGACAUGAAAAAGUGAAAAUAUUAGCUAUGAAAAAUACAUAGUUCAAAGAAAGAACACAAUAGAUGGGGUAAACAGAUUGACCACAGACGAAGAAUGAAUAAGUGAAUUGAAAGAUCAGACUGAGAACCUCUCCCAGAAAGCAGCAGGAAAGCAUUAAAAUAUAGAAAACAUUAACUUAAAAAACAAGAGAAAUGGAGAAGUGUCAGCAUUUUUAUAAUAGCCUUAGAGAGAGUGUAAGAAUGAAUAAAUAAAUCAAGAAAAUAUUUGAAGAAUGGAGAUAAAUAUUCCAGGAAUAAAGUUUGCUGAAUACAAAAUCAGUUUACAAAGUCUAUUGUAUUUCUAUAUAAAACAAAUACAGCUAAAAAACAAAAAAAUUAAAUUACCAUUUAAAUGGCAUUUAAAAAUCAAUUACCUAGAGAUCUCAGAAGUAAAUCUAACAGAGGAUGUGUAAAUCCUUUCUGGAGAAAACUGUAGAACUUGCAAAAGAGAUAUUAAAGAAGAUGAUCACCCUGGGCAACAUAGCAAAGCCCUGUCUCUGCAAAAAAUACAAAAAUUAGCCAGGUAUGGUAGUGCACACCUGUAGUCUAAACUACUUGGGAAGCUGACGCAGGAGGAUCGCUUGAGCCUGGGUUACAGUGAGCUAAGAUGGCACUAUUGCACUCUAAGCUAGGUGACAGAGUAAGACUCUCUCAAAAAAAAAAAAAAAAAAAAGGAUGAUUUAAAUAACGCCUGUAAUCCCAGCACUUUGGGAGGCCAAUGUGGGAAGAUCAUUUGAGCCCAUGAGUUCAACAGUAGCCUGGGCAUAGUGAGACCCUGUCUCUACAAAAUUUUUUAGAAAUUAGCCAGGUGUAAUGUCGGAUGCCUGUAGUCCCAGCUACUUGGGAGACUGAGGUGGGAUCGCUUGAGCCUGGGAGGUCAAGGCUGCAGUGAGCUGUGAUCAAGCCACUGGACCCCAGCCUGGAUGACAGAGUGAUACUCUCUCUCGCAAAAAAAAUUUCAAUAAAUGGAGUGAUACACCAUAUUCAUGUGCAUAGGCUGGUGAGCUAACUACUACAAGAAUGCUAGUUCUCCCCAAGUUGAUCUACAGAUUCCAAUUAAACCCUGAUGGAUGGGUUGGUUGGUUUGUUUUGGUGGAACUUGACUGAUUCUAAAAUGUAUAUAUUAAUAGAAGUGAAAAAGGUUAAGAAUAGCCAUGACUCCUGAAGAACUAGGAUGGAGGACUUGCUCUCUCAGAUGUUAAGGAUUUUUUGUUGUUUGGUUUUGUUUUUUUAUAUAAAGCUAUAAUAAUUAAGAGUGCUGUAUUGGCAGCCAGGCGCCGUGGCUCAUGCCUGUAAUCCCAGCACUUUGGGCAGCUGAGGUGGAAGGAUCACCUGAGGUCAGAAGUUUGAGACCAGCCUGGCCAACAUGGUGAAACUCCGUCUUUACUAAAAAUACAAAAAAUUAGCUGGGUGUGGUGGCAUGCACCUGUAAUCCCAGCUACUUAGGACGCUGAGACAGGAGAAUCACUUGAAACAGGAAGGCAGAAGUUGCCAUGAGCCAAGAUUACACCAUUGCACUCCAGCCUGGGCAACAAGAGUGAAACUCUGUCUCAGAAAAAAAAAAAAGAAGAAGAAGAAGAAGAAGUAUAGUAUUGGCACAAAGAAAAGUGAAUCCGGCCAGGCGUGGUGGCUCAUGCCUGUAAUUCCAGCACUUUGGGCAGCUGAGGUGGAAGGAUCACCUGAAAUCAAGAGUUCAACACCAGCCUAGCCAACAUGGUGAAACCCCAACUCUACUAAAAAUACAAAAAUUUGCCAAGUAUGGUGGCAGAUGCCUAUAAUCUGAGCUACUUGGGAGGCUGAGGCAUGAGAAUUGCUUGAACCAGGAGACGGAGGUUGCUGUGAGCUGAGAUCGUGCCACUGCAGUCCAGUGUAGGUGACAGAGUGAGACUCCAUCUCAAAAAAAAAAAUGAAAGAAAAAUGAAUCCACGCAUAUUUGCAUACUCGGUUUAUCAAAAAUAUGUCUUCACAGAGCUGUAGAAGCAAGGCAAUCUUUUAAACAAAUGGUACUGGGACAAUUAGGUGUCCAGUUAAAAGAAAAAACUAAACUAAAACUAAAUUGGCUACUUACUUCACAACAUACAUUUUUUAAAAAAUCAAAUAAUUCCCAGGUACAUUAUAGACCUAAGUGUGAAAAGCAAAGAAGGUAACAAAGGAAAAUAUUCUUGAUAUUAGAAUAGUAAAAGAUGUCUUUAAAAAAAAAUAGAGACAGGAGUCUUGCUACAUUGCCCAGGCUGGUCUCAAACUCCUGGCCUCAAGUGAUCCUCCCACCUUGGCCUCCCAAAGUGCUGGGAUUACAGGCAUGAGCCACCAUGCUGGACCUGAGAUGGUAAAAGAUUUCUUAAACAAGACACCAAAAGAACAAAUCAUGAAAGGAAAGGACUGAUAAAAUUGACUACAUCAAAAAUAAUAACUUCUUCACCCAGAGACACCAUAAGCAGUGCAAAUGAAAGCCACAAAAUGGGAAAAUAUGUUUGCAUCACUUAAAAUCAGAUUCCAUAUCCAGAUUGUAAGAUGAAGUUCUACAGUUCUACAAUUCAACAAGAGAAAGAUAGGUAAUCAAUAGAAAAAUAUGCCAAAGAGCUGAACAGGCAUUUUACGAGAGAGUACUCAAAUGGCUAGUGAAAAAUAUGAAAAGGUAGGCCUGGUGUGGUGGCUCAUGCCAGCAAUCCCAGAAACCUGGGAAGCCCAGGUGAGAGGACCACUUGAGGCCAGGAGUUCAAGACCAGCCUGGGCAACAUAUCAAGACCAUCUCUAUAAAAAAUUUUUUUUAAUAUCCAGGCAUGAUAGUGGCAUGCCUGUAGUCCCAGCUGCUCAGGAGCCUGAGGCAGGAGGACUGCUUGAGCCCAGCCCUGUAGUAUGAGGCUACAGUGAGCUAUGAUCAUGCCACUGCACUCCAGCCUGGGCAACAGAACAAGACCCUGUCUCGAAAAAGAAAAAAAAUAUUAAAGGUGCUCAACUUCAUUAGUUAUCAGGAAAAUGCCAAUUUAACCCACUUGAGAUACCAUUUUAUAAUCCUCAGCUUGGCAAAAAUUUAAAAUGGGCUGUUCCAAGGGUUGGGAAAUAUGUUGAAUAAUAGAAUCUUUCAUACUCUGCUGGUUGGAUUAAAACUACUUCAGAAAAGUUUGACGCUAGCUAGAAAAGUUAAAGAUGUGUAUACCUUUUGUCCCAAUAAGUCAUACACCCUACAAAAAUGUAUGCUUAUGGCCAGGCACAGUGGCUCACACCUGUAAUCCCAGCACAGCACUUUGGGAGGCCACGAAGGGCGGAUCACCUGAGGUCAGGAGUUUGAGAUCAGUCUGGUCAACUUGGUGAAAUACCAUCUCUACUAAAAAUACAAAAAUUAGCUGGGCGUGGUGGUGCACACCUGUAGUCCCAGCUACUCAGGAGGCUGAGGGAGGAGAUUGGCUUGAACCCGGGAGACAGAGGUUGCAGUGAGCCUAUAAAUAAAAUAAAUAAACCUAUGCUUAUGUAUACUAGGAAAUAUGUACAAAAAUUUUCUUGCAGCAUUGUUUAUAUAGCCCUAAAUCAGAAUGCUCCAAAUGCCUUUCAAAAUUAGAGUUGAUAGAUUAUGGUAGAUUCAUACAAUGAAAUACUGUUGCCGAACACCAAGGGUUUGGCCUAGGUCUGGUUACUUGAUGCACAGAAAGCCAAGCACUGAGAGUAGUAUUGCCAGGGAAGAACAGCUUUAAUGCCAGCGUCAGCCAGGAGGUGGGAGACCAGUCUCAAAUUCAUCUCUCCAACUUACUAAAGUUAGCAGUUUAUAUAGUAGGGAAGGAAUGUAAAACAAGAAUUAGGGAGGGGUAAGGAAGAGAAGCUGGUCAACAGGCAGCACUUGGUUGGAUGAGGGAUCUGUUGUCUCACCAUAACCAUACGCAGAAAAACAGAAAUUCAGGAGGUAUAAAGAAGAGGAGUUGGUCAACAGGCAGCAGGUGUGUCUCGUCUGGAUGUGGUGAUAUGGAAAGUUUCGGUUCUUCAGUUCUCUCUGGGAGACCUGGUGGUUGGUUUCCUGAGAAAGGAAUUCAGAUAAAAACAAAUGUAAGUUUCUCAAGUUUCAGUUCAGGGGGAAAACUGGGUUGAUUUCAAUACUACACAGGCAAGAAGAUAAAGCACAGCUAUAUGUUAAAACAUGGAUAAAUCUUAAAAGUAUAAUGUUAAAUGAAAGAAACAAAACACAAAAGAAUACAUGCUGUAUGACUCUAUUUAUGAUGUUAAUAAAAAUAGGAAAAUCUAAACUACACAAAUAGGAAGUCAUGCUUAGGUUGUAAAAUGUUAAAGAAAAGUAAGGAAGUGGCGACCAUAAAAGUCAAUGUUUGAAUUCUGAAUCAAGCAGUCUAACUAUUAAAAGAUAUAUUUUGGCCAGGUAUGGUGGCUAACACCUGUAAUCCCAGCACUUUGGGAGGCCAAGAUGGAAGGAUCACUUGAGGCUGGAAGUUGGAGACCAGACUGUGCAACAAAACAAAAAAAUUCAAAUUAGGUGCACUUCAUUUCUCAAGUCACCCACCUGGGCCUCUUCCAAGUUGUACUUACCUUCUUUUCUUUCCUUUCCUUACCGUUCUAAAGCUUUUAAACAAACUUUCACAACUGCUCUGAAAAAAAAUUUUUUUUAAUUAGCCAUGUGUGGUGGUGCACGCCUGUAGUCCCAGCUACUCGGGAGGCUGAUGCUGGAGGAUCACUGAAGCCCAGAAGUUUGAGAUUACAGUGAGUUAUGAUUGUGCUGCACUCCAGCCUGAGUGACAGAACAAGACCCUGCAUCUAAAAAAAAUUUUUUUAAUUUGUACAUAAUUUUUCAAAGUAUGUUUUUAGUUAAUUUGGGAACACCUGAAUAUAGUGACAUUCAUUUGACUAUAAUGACAGUAAGGAAUGAUUGCGAAUUUGGUUAGGUUACUAAUGGUUUUAUAAUUACAUAAGGAAAUGUCUUCUUUUUUAGGUGCAGGCUUAAGUUCUUAGGGAUGAAGUGACAUAAUAUCUGGGGUUUGCUUUAAAACAGUCCAGGAAAGAGAAGGAGGGGGGGACGAGGGAGGGAUACAGAGAGAAAGGUGGUUAUAUGAAACAAAUGUGACAAAAUGUCGGUGAAGCUUGAUGAUGGAUACACGGGAAUUUUAGCAUACUGUACUUUUGUUUACAUUCAGACAUUUUCAUAAUAAAAAGUUUUUAAAAGAUAAAAAUAUGUCAGGUACUCAUUAUUUCUGAGCUGGCGAGAGGGAGUUGUGAUAAGAACAGGACAUGCAGGGAAGCUUUUCGCUUUGGUAAUUUUCUUUUUCUUGACCUAGGUAGUUGCUUGUUAAGAUAUGUUUACACAGGCUGAGUGCACUGGCUCAUGACUGUAAUCUUCAACACUUUGGGAGACUGAGGCAGGAUGAUUAUCUGAGGACAGGAGUUUGAGACACCUUCAGCAACAGUGUGAGACCCUAUCUCUUUAAAAAAUCGUUUUGGCUGGGCACGGUGGCUCACACUUGUGAUCCCAGCACUUUGGGGGCUGAGGCGGGUGGAUCACUUGAGGUCAGGAGUUCAAGACCAGCCUGACCAACAUUGUGAAACACCGUCUCUAUUUAAAAAAAAAAAAAAAAAGCCAGGCACAGUGAUGGGCACUUGUAGUCCCAGCUACUAGGGAGGCUGAGGCAGGAGAAUCGCUUGAACCUGGGAGGUGGAGGUUGCAGAGAGCUGAGAUUGCACCACUGCACUCUAGCCUGGGCAACAGAAGAAGACUCUUUCUCAAAAUAAAAAAAAUGUUUACACAUAACCUUUCCUGUAUGUGUCAUGUUUCACAAUUUUAAAAGGCAAAUAAAACAGGAAACAAUGUUUGUAUGAAUGCCCUCUGAUUGUGACAGGAAUGAUCUUUCGGGUAAAUAAUGUCCCUGCAUCUGUGAAACUUCUAUCCACAGACACUAAGAAACAACAGAUUCUUGUUUGGAGUAAUAAUCAGUUAUAUCAUUUGGUUUAAACUGACUCAACUUAAUGUUUAAUAAUUGUUAAAUGUUUGAGAAGGAAACAGGUCUUCUUGUACACGUUUUUCCGGUCUGUUUUAAUGUACUUUUUGAUUUGGCUUGAAUCAAAAUGUUUUAAGAAAAAAACUUUUUUUUUUCAGAGUCUCACUCUGUCACUAAGGCUGGAGUGCAGUGGUGUGAUCACUACUCACUGUAGCCUCCACCUCCAGUGCUCAAGCAAUCAUCCUACCUCAACCUCCAGAGCAGCUGGGACUAUAGGUGCAUGGUACUAUGCCCAGCUAAUAAUUUUAUUUUUUGUUGAGACAGGGUCUCACUAUGUUGCCCAGGCUGGUCUUGAACUCCUGGGCUCAAGCAAUCCUCCUGCCUUGGCCUCCCAAAAUGUUGGGAUUGUAAGUCUAAGCCACCAUGCCGGGCCAGAAAAAAAGCUUUGUUCUUGCUAUUUCAGUGCAUUUUUUUAAAUGCCUGGGACGUGUUCAAUAUGUUCUGAAUUUUAGAACCUCUGCAACUCAGUGUUUCCUGCUUUCAAAGCAAAGUAUGGAGAAUAUUUGCCUGUAUUGGACAUGAGGGUAUAUGUGUAUAUACGGGUGUUUUAAAGUAUACACAUGACUGGCCUUUUUGCUCUUUGUCUCUAGGUGAUGCUGCGUUUGAGAAGCUAUACCUUGUUUUAGUCUAAUAAUAGGUAGUAUCUUUUGACCAUUUAUGAACAACAAAAGUACAUAUUGCUGGCAUAAUUAAGAAAAAACUUUGUAAAAGCAAGAUCAUGGUUUUAAACUUUUAGUUCAAGGCAUGGUCAGACACUGGGGAGCUUAUUUCGCUGCCCUCAAAAAAGAAAUCUCCUUUACACCCUUCAAAAAAUUAAUUUAAAGUGGAUCAUACACUUAAAUAUAAAAUGCAAAACUAUAAAACGCCUAGAAGGUAACAUAGGAGAACAUGUAAGUAAGUGCCCUUGGGUAUGGCAAUGACUUUUUAGGUACAACACCAAAGGCAUGAUCCAUGAAAGAAAUAAUUGAUAAGCUGGACUUCAUUCACAUUUAAAAACUUCUGCUCUGCGAAAUACACUGUUGGCCAGGCAUGAUGGCUUACGCCUGUAAUCCCAUCACUUUGAAAGGCCUAGGUGAGUGGAUCACCUGACGUUAGGAGUUCGAGGCCAGCCUAGAAAACAUGGCAAAACCCUGUCUCUACCAAAAAUAGAAAAUUCAGUCGGACGUGGUGGCAGGCGCCUAUAGUCCCAGCUACUCAGGAAGUUGAAGCAGGAGAAUCCCUUGAAUGUGGGAGGUGGAGGUUGCAGUGAGCCAAGAUGGUGCCAUUGCACUCCAGCCUGGGUGAUAAAAGCAAAACUCCAUCUCCAAAUAAAUAAAUAAAUAAAUAAACAAAAAUAGAACAAUUAGCAGGGAGUGGUGGCGUGUGCCUAAUCUCAGCUACUCGGGAGGCUGAGGCAGGAGAGUCGCUUGAACCUGGGAGGUGGAGGUUGCAGUGAGCCAAGAUCAUGCCAUUGCACUUCAGCCUGGGUGACAGAGCGAGACUCCCUCUUAAAAAAGAAAAAAGAAAAAAAGACCCUAUCAAGAGAAUGAGAAAACAAACUACAGACUGGUAUAAAAUAUUUGCAGAAGACAUAUCCGAUAAAGGAUUUUUUAUCUAAGACACAUAAAUAACUCUUAAAACUCAACAAUAAGAAAAUGAACAUCCCAAUUUAAAAACAGGCAAAAGACACCUGGCAUGGUGGCACAUGCAUGUAGUCCCAGCUACUUGAGAGGUUGAGGCAGGAGGACCACUUGACUGAGGAGUUUGAAAUGAGCCUGGGCAACAUAGCAAGACCCCACCUCAUAAAAAAGAAAAAGGGCAAAAGACCUAAACAGACAUCUCACCAAAGAAGAUAUACAGAUGGCAAAUAAGUAUGUGAAAAGAUGCACCACAUCAAAUGUCAUUAAGGUUUGCAAAUUAAUACAAUGAGAUACCACCACAUACCUAUUAGUAUGGCCAAAAUCCAGGACACCGACAAUACCUAAUGCCAAUGAGGAUGUGGAGCAACGGGAACUCUCAUUCAUUGCUGGUGGGAACGCAAAAUGGUUCAGCCACUUUGGAAGACAGUUUGGCAAGUUCUUACAAAACUAAACACACUCUUAUCUUACCAUUCAGCAAUCACACUCUUUGGUAUUUGCCCAAGUGAUUUGAAAACUUAUGUCUACAUAAAAUCAUGCAAUGGAUAUUUAUGCCCAAACUUGGAAACCAAGAUGCCCUUCAGUAAGUAAAUGGAUAAACUGUGGUACAUUCAGACAAUGGAACAUUAUUCAGCAAUAAAGAUAAGUGAGCUCUCAAGCCACCAAGAGACAUAGAAGAAACUUAAAUGCAUACUAAUAACUGAAAGAAGGCAAUCUGAGCCAGGUGUGGUGGCUCACGCCUGUAAUCCCAGCACUUCGGGAGGCUGAGGUGGGUGGAUCACUGGAGGUCAGGAGUUUGAGACCAGCCUGGUCAACAUGGUGAAAAACCCAUCUCUACUAAAAAUACACACACACACACACGCACACACACACACACACACCAGCCAGGCAUGGUGGCACAUGCCUACAAUCCCAGCUACUCUGCUACUGGGGAGGCUGAGGCAGGAGAAUUGCAUGGACCCAGGAGGUGAAGGUUGCAGUAAACUGAGAUUGCGCCACUGCACCCCAGCCUGAGUGACAAAGCAAGACUCCAUCUCAAAAAAAAAAGGCAAUCUGAAAAAGCUAUAUGCUGUAUGAUUCCUAAAUAAAAACAUUCUAGAAUAGGUAAAACUAUGGAGAGAGUAAAAAAAAAAUCAGUGGUUGCUAGAAGUUAUGGGAGGGAAGUAUGAAUAGGUGGAGCACAGAGUAUUUAUAGAGCAAUGAAACAACUCUGUAUGAUACUAUAAUGGUGGAUGCAUGUCAUUAUACAUUGGUCAAAACCCACAGAGUGUACAACACCAAGAGUGAACCUUAAUGUAAGCUAUGGACUUAACCAAUUAUGUGCCAAUGUACUGACUAUAACAAAUGUACCAUUCUGCUGGGGAUGUUGAUAGUGGGGGAAGCUGUGCCUGUGUAGGAGCAGGGGGUAUACAGGACACAUACUUUCCACUCAAUUUUGCUGUGGACCUAAAACUGCUCAAAGGAAUAGAGGCUCACUCUGUCGCCCAGGCUGGAGUGCAGUGGCACGAUUUCGGCUCACUGCAACCUCCACCUCCCAGGUUCAAGCAAUUCUCUUGCCUCGGUCACCUGAUUAGCUGGGAUUAUAGGCACACACCACCACACCCAGCUAAUUUUUGUAUUUUUAGUACAGAUGGUGUUUCACCAUGUUGGCCAGGCUGGUCUCGAACUCCUGGCCUCAAGUGAUUUGCCCGCCUCGGCCUUCCAAAAUCUGGGAUUACAGAUGUGAGCCACCACACCCAGCUCAUAUAUAUAUAUAUAUAUAUAUAUAUAUAUAUAUAUAUAUACACACACACACACACAGCUUCCAGGCACAGGACUGAUGUAGCCUGAAAUCAGACAUAAAACCAAAUCCUGCAGGUUGCUGAAUUACAAUGCAGGUUGUAUUCAUAGGAUCUCCAGGUCUCACAGGCAAAAACAUGGCCACUGAUUAGGGAAAAAUGGGACCUUGAGAAUAGAAAUAGGAACAUCAGGAUUGACUUGGAUUGAUCUGAGCAUCCUAAACCCCAACCCUCACUGAGUCUCCCUUGGCAGCAGAAGCAGCCCUUCUUCCCCAGUCUAUGGGGCUGGUCCUGCCUGACUUGGGGACCCUCUCACUGGCUAAUCUUUUCAAGAUCCACCAUAUCAUCUUUUGCUGCCUCCAGACCCAUUACUGAAUUCAGAUUACUGCAUGUUCCAGGAAAUAAAGUCAAACCUAUGAGGAGAAAGCACACACACACAAAUAAGAAGAUAUAGUUAAUUUAUAUUGGCAGAAAUCUCCAUAAUAUGGGUGACAGAGUGAGACCAUGUCUACAAAAAAAGAAAAAGAAAAGAAACCUCCAUAAUAUGUGUGAGAAUUGAUUCUAUGGAUGAUAGAUUAGGGAAAAAGAAGUGUAACUUUAGAUUGGGCCAAACUUUUUUAUUGUUGUAAACUAUAUAUAGCAUAAAAAUUUCUGAAAGGGCAUGGUGGCUCAUGCCUGUAAUCCUGGCACUUUGGGAGGCUGAGGCAGCUGGAUCACCUGAGGUCAGGAGUUCGAGACCAGCCUGGCCAACAUGGUGAAAGCCCAUAUCUACUAAAAAUACAAAAAUUAGCCAGGCAUGGUAGCAGGCCGGUAAUCCCAGCUACUCAUGAGACCGGGGUAGGAGAAUCACUUGGACCCAGGAGGAGGAGGUUGCAGUGAUCGGUAUAGCUGCACUGCACUUCAGCCUGGACAACAGAGUGAGACUCUGUCUUUAAAAAUUCCAUGUUAACCAUUUUUGAGUGUACAAUUAUAUGGCAUUAAUUACAUUCACGAUGUUGGGUAACCAUCACUACUACAGUAUCUAGUUCCAAACUUUUUUAUCACCCCAAACAGAAACUCUAUACCCAAUAAGCAAUCAUUUCCCUAUUACCCCCAGCCUCUGGUAAUCUCUAACCUACUUUCUGUCUAUGAAUUUGCCUAGUCUGGAUAAUUUCAUUUAAGUGGAAUCAUACAAUAUUUGUCCUUUUGUGUCUGGGUUAUUUCACUUAGAAUAUUUUCUUUGAGACAGGGUAUCACUCUGUCACCCAGGCUGGGGUGCAGUGAGCAAUCAUGGCUCACUGCAGCCUCAACCUCCCUGAGCUCAGGUGAUCCUCCCACUUCCUGAGUAGCUGGGACUACAGGUGUGAGCCACUACACUCUGCUAGAUAUUUUCAAGGUUCAUCUAUGUUGUAGCAUGUGUCCAACCUUUAUUACUUUUAUGGCUGAAUAAUAUUCCAGUAUUUGUAUAUACUGCAUUUUAUUUAUACGGUUAACUGUUGAUGGACAUUUCGGUUGUUUUUAUCUUUUGGCUAUUGUGAAUAAUGAUGUAAAGAACGCUGGUUUGGAAAUAUCUGUUUUGACUACUUGUUUUCAGUUCUUUUGGGUAUAUUCUUAGCAGUGGAAUUGCUGGGUCAUAUGAUAAUUCUCUGUACCAGGACUCCAAUUUUUCCCCAUCCUCUCCAAUACUUAUUAUUUUCUGAUUAUUACUAUUAUUAUAGUCAUUCUAGUGGGAGUGAAGUGGUAACUGAUUUGCAUUUCCCUAAUAACUAAUGAUGUUGAGCAUCUUUUCAUGUGCUUUUUGGGCAUUUUGUAAUUGCAUUUUAGGUUUUGGGGUACAUGUGAAGAACAUGCAAGAUUGUUGCAUAGGUACACACAUGGCAGUGUGAUUUGCUGCCUUCCUCCCCCCAUCACCUAUAUCUGACAUUUCUCCCCAUGCUAUCUCUCCCCAACUUUUUGGGCAUUUUUGUAUCUUCUUGGGAGAAAUAAUCUAUUCAAGUCCUUUGCCCAUUUUUUUUCUUCGUAAUCACAAAGACAUAAUCCUUUGUCCAUUUUUUGUUUGUUUUUGAGACAGAGUCUUGCUCUGUUGCCCAGGCUGGAGUGCAGUGGCAUGAUCUCAGCUCACUGCAGCCACCACCUCCCAGGUCAAGUGAUUCUCCUGCCUCAGCCUCCUGAGUAGCUGGGAUUAUAGGCACAUGCCACCACACCCAGCUAAUUUUUGUAUUUUUAGUAGACGUGGGUUUCACCAUGUUGGCCAGGAGGGUCUUGGAACUCCUGACCUCAGGUGAUCCACCCACCUCGGCCUCCAAAGUGCUGGGAUUACAGGCUUGAGCCACCGCGCCUGACCUCCUUUGCCCACUUCUAAAUUGAAUUGCUUGUAUUUUUGUUGUUGAGUUCUAGGAGUUGUUUGUAUAUUCUGGAUAGUAAAUCCUUAUCAGAUAUAUGAUUGCAAAUAUGUUCCCUUAUUCUGUAGGCUGUCUUUACACUUUCUCGAUGUCCUUUGAUGCACAAAAUUUUUAAUUUUGAUGAAGUCCAAUUUGCCUUUUUUCUGUUGUUGCUCAUGCUUGUAGUGUCACAUUUGAGACUGUUGCCAAAUCCAAGGCCAUGAACAUUAACUCCUGUUUUCCUCUAGUUUUACGGUUUUAGCACUUAAAUUUAGGUUAUUAAUCCAUUUUGAGUUAAUGGUAUAUGGUGUGAAGUAGGGGUCCAAUUUCAUACUUUUGCAUGUGGAAAUCCAGCUGUCGUCCCAGCACCAUCUGUUGGAGAGACUAAUCUCUCCCCCAUUGAAUGGACUUAGCACUCUUGUAUCAAUUGGUGGCUGGGCACAGUGGCUCACUCCUGUAAUCUCAACACUGGGAGACCAAGGUGGGAGGAUUGCUUGAGCUCAGGAGUUUGAGACCAGCCUGGGCAACACAGUGAGACCUUGUCUCUAAAAAAAAAAUUAGCUGUGUGUGGUGGCAUGUGACUAUUAAGCCCACCUACUUGGGAUGCUGAAGUAGGAGGAUCACUUGAGCCCAGGAGUUUGAGGUUGCAGUGAGCCUCAAACUGCAGUGAGCCAAGAUCAUGCCACUGCACUCCAGCCUGGGCAACAGAGCAAGACUGUGUCUUGAAAAAAAAAAUCAAUUGGCAGUUUGACUUGUUCUUUUUUUCCUAAGAUUGUUUUGGCUAUUAAUGGCUCCUUGUAAUUCCAUAUGAAUUUGAGGAUCAGCUUUUUCAUUUCUGCAAAAAGGUCUUUGGAAUUUUCAUAAGGACUGUGUUGAAUCUGUAGAUCACUUUGGCUAGUAUUAACAUCUUAACAGUAUUAGGUCUUUCAAUCUAUGAACAUGAGAUGCCUUUCCAUUUCUUUAGAUCUUUAAUUUCUUUCACUGAUGUUUCAUGGUUUUCUUUUUUUUUAAUUUAUUUUUUUAAGAUGGGGUUUCACCAUGAUAACCAGGCUGAUCUUGAACUCCUGACCUCAGGUGAUCCACCUACCUCGGCCUUACAGGCGUGAGCCACCGCACCCAGCCUCUUUCAUGGUUUUCAAUGUACAAGUCUUUCUCCUCUAUUAAAUUUAUUCCUGGAUAUUUUAUUCUUUUAGAUGCUAUUGUAAAUUGAAUUGCUUUCUUAACUUCAUUUUGGAUAGUUCAUUGCUAGUGUAUAAAAGCACAACUGCUUUUUAUGUGUUGAUCUUGCACCUUGCAACUUUGCUGAUUAGCUCUAUGCCUCUUCGUUUUUUUUUAAGAGACACGGGGUCUCAUUCUGUCGCCUAGGCUGGAAUGCAGUAGCACCAUCAUAGCUCACUGCAGCCUCAAACUCCUGGACUCAAGGGAGUCUCCCACCUCAGUCUCCCGUGUAUCUGGGAGUACAGGCACACAUCACCAUGCCAGCUAAUUUUUUAAAUUUUUUUGUAGAGACGGGAUUUUGCUAUGUUGCCUAAGCUGGUCUCGAACUCCUGACUUCAUGCAGUCCUCUUACCUCAGCCUCACAAAGUGCUGGGAUUGUAAGUGUUGGCUACCACACCCAGCCUGAAAUGCCUUUUCUGCAUCAAUUGAGAUGAUCAUGUGUUUUUUUACUUCGUUCUAUUAAUGCGAUGUUACUACCUUGAUUGAUUUUCAUAUUUUGAACCAUUCUUGCAUUCCUAAGAUAAAUCCCACUUGGCCAAAGUGUAUCCUACUUUUAAUAUGCUGUUGGGUUUAGUUUGCUAGUAUUUUGCUGGGGAUGUUGCAUCUAUAUUCAUAAAGGAUAAUUGUCUGUAAUUUUCUUCGUUUGUGAUGUCUUCACCUGGUUUGGGUAGGGCCAAACUUUUCAGUAUGGAUGUACUCAUCAGCAAUCCUGGAUGUACUUGGCUAGCUGAAGCAGCUAGGAGUAUUUCUAAGAGUUGUUCUAUUGACCGACCAAAACCUGAACUCAAUAGUAGCUUGUGUUAAAUGAAGUUAAGGUGCCAGAAAUUCCAUGGUACAGUGUAGGCAGGGGAAUCCAUCGUUUAGGGCAAUAAUUGUUGGAAUUGAUUGAUCAUAUGUAACACAUUCAACUCACCCUUUGACUAUGUGACAUUCCUUUCACAGGACUUUGAGAAAUACACUGUGGUAAAGACUAGCUAAGUGGUCACUAAAUUUGUUUCCUCUUCCUUCUAGAAACAAUUUCAGACUACAUUUUGUCAGUGUUCCUUACAAUUGGGUAUGCCCACUGUCUGAGUUCUAGCUGACAGAAUAUGAGAAGUGAUGUGUGCUACAUCCGACUCAUAGAAACCUCCCACAUGGUCUUUUCUUCUUCUGGCUAUCUAGGAUGGAGAUGACAAUAAAUACAAUGAUGACCAUGUUUUGAAGAUAGCAGACCUUCUGGAGAGAAAAUGCCUAGGCCUCUGAAUUAUCACUUAGAAGAGGGAAGCCCAAUUAUUAACACCUGUUUUGUAAUACUACAGAAGCAAGAAAUAAACUGGUCUUAAAUCUCAGAAAAUUUUCUAUCCCAGGAGCUAGCUUUACCUUAACUAGUACAUGAAUGAGUACCAGUAUUAUAAAGCAUUGCAAUGAUUUAUUUCUGUAGAUGAGGGUCAUGGUGAGAAAUCAUGAAUGAGCUCCCUGAUUUCAAUGGAGCUGAUAGGUUCAUCUCCUGAGAGAAAUUGGGUCUGGUUCUUAUAAUGGACAGCAGAGCCACAGCAAUAAUCAGGGUUGACCUGUGGAGGUUUGUAACAGUGGAUAAUUAAGCAGUUUCCCUAGGACCAAAAUAGAUGGACAGCCUAACAAAGUCCUAGUUGUUACAUAACCCCAAUAAUCUUCUACUCUGGAAAAUGGAGGCCUGAUCUUAUCCUAAAAAAAUGUGGCAUUCCAGCCUCUUCCCCAGCUCAUAGACCAGAGCCCCUUGAAUGAAGAGGAGGGUCCAUUCAAAGAAGGGACCUUGCUACGUUUUUUGCACACGUGUAUGGUGAAAUCUCCCUCCUUGCUUUCCUCACAGAGACCUGCAGCAAGUCAUUGUACACUGGGGACAGGGAAAUAUUCAGGCCUUUUGAAAUAUGCUGGAUAUUGGUUCAGAAUUAAUGUUAAUCUCUGGUGAACCAGAUUGCCACUGUGGCCCAUCAGUCAGAGUGGGAUGGCGUUAUACAUGAAGUUUUGAUCUGAGUCUUUCUUACACUGGGCUCAGGAGAAAUCCCGUGGUGAUUUCUCCAGUUCUGGAUAUACUAUUGGAAUCUACACAGUAUAGAUGGCAUAAAGGGGAGGAGUACUACAGCUGAAGAGCAAGUUAAAGACUCAAGAAAUGGGGGAUAAAAUUGGAGGUAGAAAUAUUGCGAUAACAGAAGUUCCAGAAGCAGAGAAAGAUAAAAACGGAAAAGCGCAUCUACAUUGCGAAUGAAUGCCUGAGCACAGGACUCCAAGUGACCUGGGGAAGCUGAGCUCCCCAUUGAGAGCUGUGUGUUAACAGUACCAUCGAGCCAUGAAGUUAUCUACGUGCAGUAGCACUCCACCACCAAAUAGAAUCGAGUUAUACAAACAGGCCUAGGAGAUGAAUAAGCUGCCUGAGCAGGCGAAUCAUACUCCCAUCUGCUGUACUGCCAUCCCUCUUUUGCCCACAUCUGAGGCCUCAUGGGGAAUUCCCUGUGACUAAGUGACUAAGGGAUAUCCAGCUUGGUUUACACAUGACCCUGCAUGAUAUGCUGGCCCUGCUGGAAGUAAACUGUAGUGUUACAGCCCCACUUAGGGUUGAUCCCGAAGGACAGUGAGAAGGGAAAUUCUCACAGUAGGACAACUGCUGGGUCACAUAGCUGGUCAGAGGUAUAGAUAGGUUUCCACUGUUUCAUGAGUAGUUGUUAAUGAUUCAGCUAAAUGAUGAAGAACUUGGAAUUAACAGGACUGAAAUAUUAUUGAUGAAGUCUGAGGAAGAGCAUAUGGAUGUCCCUCUUGGAAUAGGCAGAGAUAUUCAUGUCCCACAUAAAUGAGCACCAGAGAGUCCACUGCAGAAGAGGACCUCAAUCAAGUAGAUAGGUAGGUGUCCUAUUCUGUGCUGUCAGUCAGUCUCCGUCUCUCACCCUUUUCUUUGCCCAAUGGAUUCCUGAACAAAAUGGCCAUGGUGGCAGGCAUGAAGGUUAUGCAUGGGCUUGGACUUCCAUCAAGACCAAUCUGGCUAUAAGCCACUGCUGAAUGCCCAACUUGCCAACAGAAGAGAAACCCAAGCCCCUCUAUGGAACUAUUCCUUGGUGGCAGCUGAUUACAGACAGGACAAAAUGAAAAAAAGCCACUGGACCCCCAAAAUUCUGGCAGGAAGCAGACUGGGGCAACUGUUCAGCUGCAAACAUGUGCUGUCUUUCUUGAAAAAGGAAGGCACAGAGGGUAGAACCAAAAGGUCAGAGGGCAGAGCCUUAGAAUACUAUUCCCAGGCCUUGAAAUCUAAUCAGGAAACUUCCAUUUUCCCAGCUGGAUUUCAGAAUUAUUAUAGACCAGUGAUUCCUUUAUGUCUCCCAUUUCCCCUCUUUAUGAACCAGAAUAUCUGUAGUAGUUGUCCUAUGGCUAUUCCACCAUUGUAUGUUGGGUGUGUUGGGAAGAGAUAACUUGCCUCUUAAGUCUCACAAAUCGACUGAGCAUGGUGGCUCAUACCUGUAAUCCCAGCACUUUGGGAGGCCAAGGUGGAAGGAUUGUUUGAGCCCAGGCUGGGCAAUAUAGUAAGAACUUGAUCCUGAAGGACAGUGAGAAGGGAAAUUCUUGUCUCCAAACAAAGAACUUGUCUCCAUAACAAAAUAAAAACAAUUUUCUUACAAAAUAUACUUGUCUCACAAAUCUAAAGAUGGAGAAAAAAGCAGUUAAGAAGCCACAUCCAAAGAGUCUCUUUCAUAUAUGGACCUGAUUUAGAUGAUAUUCUGGAUUUCAGCGCAAUGCUAUAAUUGGAUGAGACUUUUAGAGACUUUGGCAAGGAGGUGAAUGUAUUUUGCAUGUGUAAGUAACAUGAAUCACCAGGACCAGUGGAAAAACUACAGUAGCCAAUCUCCAAUGACACACCCCCCCCACACACACACACCACCUCCUGGUAUUCACACCUUUGUAUAAUCCCCUCCCCUUGAGUGUGGCCUGGACCUAGUAACUGACUUACUUCUAACAAAUAGAAUAUUGCAAAAAGUGAUGGGAUGUCACAUCUGAGAUUAGGUCAUAAAGACUAAGAGUUCUGUCUGGCAUGUGGGCACUCUCCUUCUGUCUCUAGCUCAUCUUGAUUGCUCUGCUGAAGCAAGCCACCAUGUUGUGAGCCACCCUAUGAAAAGGUACACAUGGCAAGGAACCUGAGAGCGGCCCCCAGCCAACAGCCAGCAAGAAACUGAAUCCUGCCAACAGCCACAUCUUCUGGGAAGCACGGUUAAUGUCUGCCCUUUCAAGGACCCACUGACCAUAUACCUCAGACCCCAGGUGCCAAUCCCAAGGGGUGGAAUCCUGUACCACCAGACUCUGCAAUGCAAAGGAAAGAGUUCAUAUGCACAGUGUGGGGCUCCAACUGAUUCUCCUCUUUCUAAAACUAGACUGCAGGCCCUUGGCCUGGAAGUGGAGACAGACUGAGGCCUGUGCCUUGCCUUCCCUCCAGAAGCUCUAGAGCUUGGGGGUGGGAGGAGAGACAGACCUAUUAGAGUAUUUCAAACACCAUGUAAGGCACAGGUGGAGGCACUAGGGAGAAGGUGCAGAAGGGGUCAGUUGGGCCUGAAGGAAGGGUUUGGGUAACAUCCUUAAUGGAAGUGAUGUCUCUUCCCAUCCCCUUGUCACCUGCAGAUUCAGGAGCCAUUUGAGGGAUGUGGCAACAUUUGGGAGGACUCAGCAGCUAGGUGAUGUUCUGUAUAAUAGAAAAUUACUUUGAGGUGAGAAGAUACCCACUGCUUCCCUGACCUUUCUCCCCAUCCCCUUAUCUGAGGGGGAAGGGGGUCCCCUGAGCCAGUCCCCCUCCCUUUCUAGGGGAACGUCUGGGAAAGAGGGCAGAUCUGGAACCAGAGAAAGCUCUCUGGAAGAGGUUAGAUUUGAUCUAGGUCUUGCAGGAUGGUGGCCAGGGACCCUCCUGCAGACUUCAUAGGAUGUACGUCUGCUGUGAAGGAAUGUGUGAGGGAUGGGACAGGGACAUGCCAAGAUGGGAAAGGCUGUCUGAAAACCGGUAAGGGAUGGGCCCAUACCUGGGAGGACCCCUGUCCUGGGCCAAGCAGUUCUCUAACCUGGGAGUUGCUUCAGGUUGUAGGCACCAUCUCUUCCUCUCCUGUCUGGCCACUUCUUCCUGUGGCUGACUGCCUUGGGAGUGGUAGUUAAGUGCUGAGAUUGAGCCCCUUCCUGACCAUUCCAGGUGUCACCUCUCCUGUCAGCUCCUCCAACCCUCUUUUUAUGAUCAAUUCCAGAGAGGUGGGCAGCCAAAAGGUCAGCCUCUUCCCCUGGACUGAGACCUGGGGUCAAACUGGACCCAACAGGGUUGUCCAGGGGCUCCUGUCUCUCCUCACUUGUAUAGCCCAGGGUCCCAACUGGAAGACCAGAUGAAGCAGGGCUGAGCCAGACCCUGCCACCAAUCAAAGCUGCUGCUAGAAGAGGGUGGGCUUUCUUAUUUACCAUUAGGUUCCUGUCAACUACAAAUAUGGAAAAGAGGAAUGAAACUCAUGAAAGUUCAGAUGAGAAAGCAAAAUAAGGGUGGCAGUGUGCUAAGCUCCUGGGCUAGAGAUCAGGACCCAGUCUUUAGCCUUCAGCCUCCUCACAGCCCCUUGAGAGGAGGGAAAGCCCUUGAGGCAGGAAUGAUGGGAAGCUGACUGAUUUAGUAGGGGUUCCAUGCUCUUGCUUCCUCCUUUGUAUCCUCAUAUCAUGGGCAGACUCCAAACACAGAACACUCAAGACCACAAAGAAUGGUUCUUAGCCUUUGGAGGGUCAAGGAUCCCUUUAUGAAUCUGAUACAAGCUGGUUAGUCUUCUUGUCAGAAAAACACAUGCAUGCAAACACCCACAAAAACAUGUAAACAAUCUGUUAACAGUCCCUGAUUUAGUCCAGCACCCUUAUCUUAAAGACUUUGGGACCCAGAAGGGAGAUCUUUCCAACUACUAUGGGAUCAUUCAUGGGCUUGAAACUACUAUGCUAAGUGAAAGAAGCCAGACACAAAGGAUCACAUAUUAUACUAUUCCAUUUAUGUAAAAUGUCCAGAAUAGGCAAAUGGGAUGAGGGGUAAAGGAUGACUAAGGGAUAUGGAGUUCCUUUUUGCAAUGAUGAAAAUGUUCUAAAAAUUUUUUUGCAAUGAUUGCUGCACAACUCUAAAUAUACUAAAAGCUAUUUAAUUGUACACUUUUAAGUGGGUGAACUGUAUGGUAUGUACAUUACAUCUCAAUAAGCUGUCUUAAAAAAGUGAACUCAGGGGUUUCAAAUGACCACACAUCUGAGCUUUAGUCCCCAUUCAUCAGGGGCAUAAAGAACCUGUGGAGAAAAAUCAGGGAAUUAUGCAGUAUACGGGUUAGACAAGAAAAUAUUCUAGAAAGAACGAGAUUCUAUGUAUAAUCUUAAGGGCAAUAAAGCAUCAUGGAAGGUUUUAGGCAGUAUAUAAUCAGAUCUACACUUUAGAAAUCCAAAUCACUUAACUGUACAUUUCAAACAAGUGAAUUUUAUGGUAUGUAAAUUAUAUCUCAAUAAAGCCAUUUAAAAAAAAAUCCCUUUGGGAGCUUGAGGAGGAUAAACUGGAGGGCAUCAACUGGGGGAGGCUGUGGUGUACGAGUCAGGAUGAGGGGGCCAGAGCCCAUCUGUUUGGACUUGAGGGAAAGCGGCUUGGGGGUAGAGUUGGGGAAGGAUCAGAAAUGUCUUGCCCAAGGUUAAGAAGCUGGUGGAACUUGAUUUCAGAACCCAGAGCUUCCUGGCUUUAGCCCGAGCACUCCUGCUAGCACUAUAGCUGCUCCACUGACUGGUGAGGGAAGCACUGUCCUCCCUAUCUAAGAGAAAUGCACUUCAGAAACAUGUUUCCAAAAAAUGUUUCUAAGGGUUUUAUUUCUAACAAGAGGAAAAUAAUAAAAUAAAAUUAAAAUAGGCUUCAGUUGGAA